Molecule: long non-coding RNA, 58310 nt
Filed under: Setaria viridis
Lineage: Eukaryota; Viridiplantae; Streptophyta; Magnoliopsida; Poales; Poaceae
Description: long non-coding RNA (SVIR_LNC004794)
Source: RNAcentral
UUUGUUUUUUUUUUUCGUUCUUCAUUCUUCCAAUUAUCCUAGCUAUUACCGAAUUAUAUGCUAAGAUGUACAGUGAUGUAAUUUUUAACACAAAGAGUUUAGUUCAACUCGUUCUGAAAAAAAUAAUCCAACAUUCUGAUUAUACUAUUUUGCCACUUUAAGCAUAAAAAUUGAAUAGAUAUAAUUAAAGUGUUGAACUAAUGCAGUCAACAUUUUUAAAUGCUAGGUUCAACAUUUUAUCAAAUUUAGUUCAACAAUUCGGAUAGACUAGAUCAACAUUAUGUAUAUAAAUGUUGAAGAAGUAUGUCCAAAAUGUUGAAGUAGUUAUUCAAAAUGUUGAAACAACACAUUCCAAAUGUUGAUUUAAAUAAUACAUAUAAAAAUUAAAAAUAUACCCAUAUUGGAUCUUAUUUUGUUGCAUUAAUUCCAAAUAACACAGUAGUUCAAAACGGAUUAACGGUUUAAGAGAAAAAUGCAUUUGAACUUUGAAAUUAAAUGGGAUUCUCCUCCACCUCCUCCAUCUGUCCGCUGACACAUGUCCUCCAUGAUUCCAUUUGAUGGUGGUUGGAGCGUGCGAGAGAGGUGGACUGAGAAGAAAUUAGAUGCAUUCAAAGGACAAGAAAGCUUGCACGAAUCUCCAACACCGGGCUUCCGGAAGCUAUAUAGGAUCUGCGCCAGGGGCUCCGGAGGACUUUUUCCUGCCUGAGUGAAUAACAGUCUGUCGGCCCACCUAAGCCCAUCCAGGCCCAACAGUCCGGUAGCACCGGGACAGACAAAAAGAAGGCGACAGUAAAAACGAAGCCACGUUGCGGGCGGCGAACUCGCACGACGAGGGUUUCCAGCCGGUUGCCGUCUCCUUCCGGCGCCGCUUUCGAUCCCCUGAUCCCAUCCCAGAAAACCCCAGCGGAGCCUCUUCUGAUUUCAGGUGCGGGUUUGGAUUUUAAUUUCUUGCCCCUUGCAGUCUUUGAUGAUCUGGACGGCGACCUGCUAGAUCAAUCGCAGUUCGGUAAAUGAUUCUGCUUGUGAGUAUAUCUCGUCUGCAAUUUAUAAGUCCUUUCUUUUUGUUGUUUCAGCAAUUCCGCAUGCUAUUUGCUUGGUGCUUGAUUGGUGUCUGCUCACUGAUUUUGACUUUUGAGCCAAAUAAAUAGAGUGCUGCCUGAAUUUUUAUCUGACAGGCUAAACUUUUAACAGAUAUAGAGAAAAGGUCUCUCAAAAGUUCACCUAUACAUGUAUUCACACUUUUUUCUGAGAUUUGCCAACUGCCGUUAUGAUUAUGCUUGCACUUUCAUCACUAGAUGGAGCAUGCAUUCCACUCUCUGAUCAGUAUCCUAGUGAAAGGAACCUGAAAAAUGGAAUAUGGUCCUAUACCAAUCACUAAUAGCGAUGGAAAGUUGCUUAUUUAGUCUUCCAUCUUCAAGAUGCACAGAAUGUUAAUAGAUGUAGAAGUACCUAGUUCAAAGUAGCAUUAGGUAUAUGUGCUUCUUUAUUAGUUUAACGCUACAAACUUAUUAUCACUCUAUGCUUUAUUCUUAAUUUCUAGUUUCCUUAAUUUCAGUCUAGCAUGAGGUUGCCAAACCAACGCGGAUGUGCCAUUUCAAUGGAAGAUCUCCCAGAGGUAUCACCAAAGCGGCUUCCCACAACAAGUGAUCUUAAUUCUCUUUCCCUUGUGUCCAAGCGGCUGUAUACUGUUGAGGCAGAGCUAAGGGAUGCUAUUUAUGUUGGAUGUGGCGUUAGCCCUGUGACAGUGGCCUUGGCAUCACUGUGCUCCCGGUUCCGAAAUUUGUGCAAGGUGGGAGUUUAAUUACUCUGGUUGGAUGCCCAACCAUGGGAUGCAGUUGGGUAAUCAAGGCCUCCGUGUAUUUUCAUCUUGCUGCCCCUCGCUGACUGAUCUCACCUUAAGCUUCUGCUCAUACAUCGAUGACUCGGGUCUUGGCUUUCUGUCAUGCUUCAAGAAGUUGAUGUCCCUCAGGUUGAAAGCGUUACAAGAAAUAACUUCAGCUGGUCUUCUCUCGGUGGCUGUUGGUUGCAAGAGUCUAUCUGCUCUCCGCCUUAUGAGCUGCAAGAACGUAGGUAGUGUUGAGUGGCUGGAGUACCUUGGCAAGAUUGCAUAAUUGGAAGAACUUGUAGUAGAGAACUGUCAGAGGAUCAGUCAGUUUGACCUCCUAACAUUUGGUUCAGGAUGGAUGAAGCUCCAGAAGUUUUGGUUUCAGAAUAAGUAUUUGCCAAACACAUUUAAGUUUGAUGGCCCUUCGUCUAUGGUAGGCAGCCAGUCUAGAUAUGACUUCUGCUGUGAUUUCUUGAAGGAUUUGACUUUGGCUCGGAUCACAACGGAGCAAGAAAUAGGACUCUGUUGUCUCCUGAGAAAGUGCAAAGCAUUAGAAAAUCUUUCCCUUUAUUAUGCUCUUGGUGUACAUGACAAUGACAUUAUUACGCUAGCUCAGAACAACAGAAACCUUAGAAGCAUCUCACUUAUGCUGACACCUCAGCACUGUGAAGAUUAUGUUUACAGGACAUCAUUGACUGAUGACAGCCUAAAGGCCAUAGCCCUCUGGUGUCCAAUGCCUCAGUCUUUCGAGCUCACAUUUUUUGGAUGCAAACCCGAUUACCCUGAAAUAGGCUUCACACAGGAGGGCCUUGUGAUGCUCAUUCAGUCUUGUCCAAUUCGUGAUCUAACACUCAGUGGUGCCAACAUCUUUGAUGACGAGGGAAUGAAGGCCCUCUCAUGUGCACGAUUCCUAGAAUCGCUCAAGCUUGUCCGUUGCAUUGCGAUAACUGAUGCUGGGGUGCACCUCCUUGCACGCAGUCCCUCUUUGAUCAACCUCACGCUAGAGUUAUGUGAUGGUUUGACAUAUCAUGGAGUAGCCGAGUUUGUGCGUGCACGGAAGUUAGAGUCUCUGACUAUUGAAAAAUGUUCUCGGAUAUCUCUCAAAGCUGUACAAGGGGCUGCCAAAACUGUUCACCACACUGAUGACUGCCCAGGCUUUAAGGAGUGGGUGGAACGCUGUGUGUAAAGUGUGACCAUCUUGCUGUCUGAAUUCCCCAUAAAUUUCUCAGUUCAUAUAUGAAAUCUUCGGUUGAAACUGUGCAGUGUGCAUCGUAUUUCCCAACCUGCUUGGCCUUCAUCCUGCCAUUGCUGUGUAGUAUUGAUAAGAGUGAAAAGCACCGGCGGACCUCGAACUUGUCACGCUGUGCCAAAUAGGUACAUCAACUCUGAAAACGUAUUUUUAGUCCCCAAACUUGCUAAUCGGUUCACACGAGGUCCAAAUCUCAUUACCUAACUUAAAUCACCACUUAUCAGCUGCGGGGCUCACCUGUCAUCCUCUUUCUUUUUUUUACCUCACCUUUAUCUUCUUCUUUUUUUCUCCCUAGCACCUCUGCCCGCCUCCUCCCACUUCCUGGCCAGCGCCGCCGCCCAGCCUCCUCCCCCUUCCUGGCCGGCGCUGCCGCUCGACCUCCUCCCCCGGCUCCUGCUGAUGCUCUUCUCGGGCGGCUGGCGUAGCUCGUCACCGGCGGCCCAAGGCGAGGCAGCGCAGGAUGCCCCCACCAGCGUGAGGCCAUGGGCAUGAGUGAGCUGGGGCCUGGGAGGCGACACGGAGUGAGCCACCGGCGCGGGGAGAGGUGGAGGGCGGUCGCAGAGCAGCGGAGCAAGGUGAGGGGCGACGGCCGACGGCCUGCGUGGGCACUGAGCGGGGGCGACAUGGGCGAGCUGGGAGGCCGCUACCACUGGCGAGCCGCGGUGGCCGGAGGUUGUGGCGGGGCCAACGGGCCAUCGAGCCCCACAGCGGGUGGAGGAGGGCUGCGGCCGUCGGUCCACCGGCACUCAACCUUCGGUGGCUCAUCCGCAGAAGCUGUAGCUACAGCAUCGUCAGCCGCCGACGGUAGCGCUUCUGCUUCCGCCGCCGUGGCAUCAGGAGCGGUGGGUGGCUCCAGCACCAGCUCGCCACCGCCGCCCGACCUCCUCCCCCGCGCCGUCUACCACAUCCUCCUUCCCCGCCAUGCCGGCGUAGGAGACCGUGCCGCUCCCGCUGCCGUAGGAGACCUCCGCGCGCAUGGUGGCGUCGAGCUCGGGGGAGAGCGUCGAGGAGGAUGAGAGGGAGGAGAUAUGAAGAGAGAGAGGGGGGCUAAUUAUAGUGUAAUCAGUGUUUUAAUACAAAUUGUUAGGAUUUGGACCUAUUUGGCACGAUUAGCAAGUUUGGACAUCCAAAAAUACGUUUUCAGAGUUGAUGUACCUAUUUGGCACAGCGUGACAAGUUCGAGGGCCACCGGUGCAUUUCACUCUAUUGAUAAUUGAUGGACUAUAUUAGUGUCAGCUAUGUUUCAAUUUGCAAGCAACCGAAUUGUCCUUUAACGCUGUGCGCGUGACAUGCUUAGAGGCUUUUCUUAAUGCACAUUGUCUCUAAAAUGCUUAAACUUAACAUUGGUGAACGGAGUUUGAUUGCUUCAACGUGAGUUAUUCACAGGAAAGAACCGACAUGAUAAAUUUCUGAUAAUCUCGAUGCUCUUUGAGAAGACACACUCCCCACUUGCCAAAAUUAUGCUGGCAUGUCGGUAAAUGGAUAGAAACUUGCAUUUGCCCGGUGAAAAGAAAAAACAUUAUUGUCAAAUUAUUACUACCAAGCUUUAUUAUUGUUACAAAUGUGACAUUCGAAAGCAAACAGUAGAUACGUAAGGCCAUUCCAAUAAGGAGUUUCACAUGGUUCCAUCCCAAUUAAAUGAGGUGCUACAUAAGUUAAACUGUUGACGUAAGAUGGGAGGAGUUUUAACUUGAUGCUCACCGUUUCCAACAUGUUGGAAACUGUGUGAAACUCUCAUUGAGUGUUUGUGUUUCAUCUCACAUAUUUCAACUUUCACUUAUCACUUAGAUACAAAUUUAAAUGGGAUGCUAAUAUAUGAAACCGUGAAAUGGAACUUUGGAUUGGAGGUCUAGUUUUAUUCGCCAUUUCAACAAUUAAAAGAUGGCAGACCAGAAGUUGGGUUUCCAAAAAGAAUUGUAGCUUAAAUAUGUACCCACUCACACGGUAGGUAGGUUGUUGUUCUGUAAAGCUGCCAUUUUUGGGGGAAGUGAUGCAGUGUACAAGUAAAAUGGCAAUGAUUUAGCUGAGUUGGCAUACAGACUUAAUAAAAAGAGAAUUCGGAUUCGUAUGAGUUAUCAACAUUUUUUAACCUAUUUUAAUAUUUUAAGAGAAUAUAUUCAACAUUUAUAAAAUUUAGAUCAACAAUAUAAAAAAUUGUGCUAUCUUCUUCUCCAACGACGGUAAGGCGCCAGACGAGGCAGAAAAGGCAUGGCAGAGGCGGUGCGCGGCAGCACAGGUGGUGGGGUAGCAGAGAAGGUAGACAACGUGGUUGUAUCGCUGUCGGGAUAGAUCCCUAAUACCCGCAAAGGAAGGAAGAAGACGGACUCCUAUUAGGAUUUUUCUAUAAUUCUACUAGGACUUAUACCACGUAAUCCGUCUAUGACUCCUCCUUGUAACCGACUAGUUAUCCCGCCAAUUGGAGUAUAUAAAGGAGGGCAGGGGUACCUAGAUCAACAAAGACAACAGAUGGCAAAUCCUCAUACCUCAACACCCAAGCGCAGGGCGCAAUAUACAACACCCCAAACAUGACGUAGAGUAUUACGCUACUCUGGCGGUCCGAACCUAUCUAAAUCGCAUGUCCUCGCUUUUACCUUCAAGUUCUAGGUCCGGCGAUCCCCCACCAACAAAUCUACUACCUCGAAAUACCCCUCAGUAGGUUGCCGGGUUAAAACACCAACAUCUGGCGCACAAAAGUAGGGGUGAUCGUCAAGAUCAUCCGGCGAACUUGAAGGACCUCAUUAUCAAGAUCAAUCCGGCGCAACGUGGUUUCCGAUUCAUGGUAACCGAACAGCAGCUUCCUUUGCCGAAUCCAUGUCAAAAAUGACGAGUCGGGAUCCGAGGCAGGAAAGAAUCGCUCAAAGUGGCCACCUGCCGCUACUGGCAAUAGCAAGCAACCAGAUGCUCACAUCCGAUGCGGAAAAAUAAAAUCAUGCUGCUAUUCAAUCAGUAGAGAGAAAGAAAUCCAUUCUUAUUGCAACACGCGCAUCGAGAUGGAGUAAUGAUUACCUUUUGGGACUUGUUUUCUCCCGUGAGAAGCAAUUGGUGAAAAAUGUUACACGCACAUAAAGGACCACUAGAAGGCUCUGGGUGUUUCAUGGCAACACCGAUUUGUCGAUGACUACCUCGACUACUCGUCUUGACUACAAAACUAGUCGGGGGCGGGCCUCGCACCAUUGACAACUAGUCGGAAUCGACUCCGACUAGUCGGCUGCAUCAACAACCGUCGCGGCUUCAUCGACAACCACCACGGCUUUGUCAACAAUCAUCCAUGAAUCAUGCUAAGUCACUUUUCUAAUUAUUUUCCAGCUUGUUUUCCGCAUGCAAGGCAACACCCCAACUACGUAUUUGCGUACGUCUCUCAACGGUAAUUACCCUCCAGAGCUACACUUUGCCAACUAUUCCUAUGGCAUGUUGACCGACAACCACAGGCUUGGUAUACCAAAUUACGGAGGCUACGGCCACGGGUUUGGUACACUGAGUUGUGGAGGCACCGUUACGGGUUUGGUACAUUGAAUUUUGGAGGCAAUAGCCACAAAUUUGAUAGACUAAAUACUGGAGGCUCACAACGGCUACACCCUAAGGAGGCACAAAUCUUAUGCGCACAGCACACGCUCUAUUCGUCGGAGGGCAGCAAACUCUUGCGCACAACACGCGCUCUACUCGCCGAAAGGCAGCAAACUCUUGCGCGCAAUCGCGCAGUCUCUUUUGUCGCAAUACCUACUACUGAUUUUUAUCUUCUCUUAAGGUCAAUAAUCUUCUCGAGCAAAACACGACUUAAUUCGUGAAAGCUUCGGAUCAUCUGUCAUGUCUAAAUGCUACCACACAUACACGAGACAAAGAUCUCAGCUGUGCAAACGGCAAUGCCCGUACACGUACAAGAGACAAAGAUCUCGCCACGUAGUGGCUACGGCUAAACAGAGCCUGAGAGCCUAAACGCAACAAGCUAACUACUCAGGAGAAAUAUGGCCGAAACAAGAGCAUGACACAAAACAUUUUGUGUUGAUCAUUGGAUAAAUUUCGAUAGUUUUCAAUAUUCUACAAAUAUGCUACAUAAUGUAUGCAUCUUUUCUAUUAGGUCAAGCUUCGGCGACGACACUCCAGGACUCUAAGCGUAUCUCCAAAGGUACAACUAGUUCCCAAACUCGAGGGCUAAUUGCCAAUUACUUCUCAAAAUAUCUCCAAUGGCUCUGGUAGCUUCCAAGCUCGGGGGUUAAGCGCCAAUAACUACUCGACGUGGCUCCUAUGGCUCACUUGGCACAUAAGCUCGGGGGCUGGACGCCGCAAAACUACUCGGAUGAUGACUUGUGUGAAGAUUCAAGCUCCUUGAAUUGAUUAUUCAAUCAUUUCAAGGCUCGGGGGCUGAUAAACUACACUCAACAAUUGAUUUUUUCAAGAUAAAGGAAGAAGAUUCAAGAUUUUAUUGACCCUCAGCCUGAUUCUACGAUUCAACCUAAGGCUCGGGGUCUACUCCAUAUGGAGUGCAACUUUCGCCACCCUCCAUAUAUGAAGAUUACAGAAUCAAGACAAUCAAAGGCUUUGAGCACACCAUAGCCUCAUGGUAGCUUUGAGAAACUUUAUAGAUUCAGCUAGACAAAUACUCGAGGAGCACUAAAACUACUCGGCGAGGAUCUGAAAAGUACUCGAAGACUGCUGCAUUCGACUAUGAAGCGCUUGUGGACUUGUUGGGGAUAGAUCCUCAGUACCCACAAAGGAAGGAAGAAGAUGGACUCCUAGUAGGAUUCCUCUAUAAUCCUACUAGGACUCAUACCAUAUAAUCCUACUAGGAAUCCUCCUUGUAACCAACUAGUUAUCCCACCCCUGGAGUAUAUAAAAGAGGGCAGGAUUAUCUAGAUCAGCAAAAACAACAUAGGGCAAAUCCUUAUACCUCAACACCCAAGCGCAGGGCGCAAUAUACAACACCCCAAAUAGCACGUAGGGUAUUACGCUACUCUGACGGCUCGAACCUAUCUAAAUCGUGUGUCCUCACUUUUACCUUCAAGUUCCAGGUCCGGUGAUCCCCCACCAACAAAUCUACUACAUCGGGAUGCCCCUCGGUAGGUUGCUGGGUAUAAACACCGACAAUUGCCGUGGUAAGGUUUCUUGUGGUGGAACUUGCCCACCAGGGUUCGAAUCCUUGACUCAGCACUGGUGCUCGUAUUUUCCUAGAUUUCUUCCAAAAUUUAACUUGUUCUGUGCUUUCAGUGGUAGACGACGUGCCCGUCGAUAGCGAGAUGUCAGUGGUGACUUCAUCAAUCUUGAGGAUCUACCAGCUUACUAUUUUGGAGGUGCUCAUAUGGGUAGGGUUGCGUGCGUAUGUUUGCAAAGGGCGAGUGUGCAUGCAUGUGGUGAGCAGUUGCAUCUGCACUAUGCUUUGGAAAAAAAAAAAGCUCCUGCCUACAAACCACAUUGAUUUCGCCUUUUUUUUUGAACGCCUCUGAUCUAGGUACAGCUGUACUAUCUGUUCAUACACACGUAUGCCCACUCAACACACGCACACCACUCACACCACCCAUGUACAAAUAAACCUAUAACUACACUCAGACCCAAGACCGCAUCCUUCUUAAGAUCACCGGAAUCCUCUAAGUCCGUAGGCAAUGGGCACAUCAUGUUUCCAUUCUGGUUUCACGCGUGAGAGGUGGACGCUUGGAACCGAUCCAAGCGGAGACUGUUCUUGUUAAGGUGCUGCAUAGCACACACCCAGGUGCGACACCAGCGUUGCGAUCACAGGGGAUUGAACGCUAGCGGGCAGCCUCGCCACUACGAGCCCACUGAGCCACUGCUCGUUCGCUCUACCUUUUUGAAUUCUUUUUUACUUUUAUAUAUUUUUUUUACGAAUUUGUAGACAUAAAUAGGCGAUCCAAAAAUUUACAGAAAUGGACCCCUACCGCCAGAUCAAACGGCGGUAGGUACGCUACCGCCAGUUGAAAUGGCGGUUGGAGCGGUGGACCUAGCUACCGCCGUUUGAAAUGGCGGUAGCCGAGUAUCGCCAUUUGAAAUGGCAGGAUUGCCGUUUGAAACGGCAGUACCUAGGCAACCGCCAGUUGCGUUGUGAAGAGGCAGCUAUAGCCGGUUGAAACGGCUAUAGACAUUUCAACCGGCUAUAACUUGGUUUUUUUAUUUUGUUUUCUUGUAAUUUUUUCUUCGAGUUCGAAAAAAUAUAAAGUUACAUUGGAGCACUAAAUAUUCGAAUAUGUCAAUAUUGGUUGGAAUAUGAAACUUCCUAAUUUGAGAGAGGUACAGUGCUUCAAGGAAAUAAUUGAAAAUGAAUUAACUCCCGGCCAUUAGAUACAUUGCUGUUUCCAGCCAAAUUACAACAGAUAGAAACAAAAUUCGUGCACAACAUAUGAACACCAACGACUCUAGAGUGAAUAAUUAAUUAUAGAUUGCAGUGGCAUGUGCAGCACAGAUGCUAUCCUAAACAUGUGCCAGUGCUAAACCUAACAUGCCUUAGGUAAUUCAAAUAGCUAGGGAUAGAGUCAUCUCUACUUUCUAGUAGAACUGGCUUUGCGAGAGCUGGGAGGGCCCAACCUCAUAUUAGCCAGCACCCCCAAAGGAUGGCGGAGAUGGGGGGCGAUCCUUGUUGUGGUGGUAGGAGCACUUGCACCAUGGAUCGGUACAAAUCAAGUCACCUGCAAUGUUAACCACCCAAGGAUUUGCAUCAACUUCGGAUUGAAGAUCCUUCACCUUACGCUCGAGGUCAAAGAUCUUGCGCUUGCGGUAGUGGAUGUACUCUUGGGUUGGCUUAGGAAGUGGAGGAUUGACCCACUUCGCAUAGCGGCAGUUUCCUUCAUCGAGAUAAGAUUGAACAUGAUGUUAGUUUGUAGCACGAAAAGCUUAGCAAGAGUAAGGAAGUAAUAACUUGACUCACCAAGCCAUACGAGCAUCGAAAGAAAUGUCGGCUUCCAUCACUGUAGCCAUCAUACAGCUAGACGACACAAGCCACGCCAUGGUGACAUAUUGUCCAUGCAUCAUGGUGGUUGUCAUAAGGUCUAAGGGAGUUUGGAGGGGCGUAGUUAGCCCUGUCAUACAGAGGGAAGUCGUCGAGGGGUGCCUCAUACUCCAUUGGGCCAAAAGAUCCUGGCCAAGUGAUGGUGGGAAUAGGAGCAUCCCCUUCUCUUCCCCUUCUCCCACAACCUCUCCCUCUUGCGGAUGCCAUUGUUCUUCCUCCUGCUGAGUGGUGUGGAAGGAUACGAGAGAGGGAGGUCCAAUAUAAGGAGUGUUGAGAUGGAUAUGCACUAUGCCCCCAUGUGCUUAGUACCCCAUCAUGUUCAAUCAUCCUGAAGAAGGCUAGAUAUAGGCUUUGCAGGUGUAGGGACGUAGGGCUCAGUGUCGAGUCCCAUCUGCUUGAGAAGGCUCACGUUUAGGGUCCUUGCAGUCUAUAGUGUAGGCUUUUCAGUGAUGGUUCACGUCAACAAUGAUUUAGCACUAUUUGAGUAUUGUACAGGCAGCAGAGCAGUAUAAUGGGAAUAGUGUGGAAUCUGAGUACUUGAAGCAAGGAGAUGAAACGUUAUCACAGUACAAACAACAGUACAAUGGUAUCUGAGGCGCCCAACAUGACAAACCUAAAGAGCACCUUCCCUAGGAUAAAAUGCCUUAGGUAAUGUAAACUGGUGGAGCACAACUAACGUUCUACUGGGUGAACCGGGGAAGUUUCCCCUUCCUCGUUGUUUUGGAGAAGCAUUCUGCCUCCUGCUUCUUCAUCUUCUUCUAUCGCUCUUAUUGGAGGAGUUGCACCUGACGAGCUUUGAAUUCUUCCUCCUACCAUUUCAGUGUUGCCUCUCGAGCACCUAACUGGUCGCGCCGCCUCUGCAAUUCAUCCUCCUUACCCUUCAAAUGGAUCUGUUGUUGGCGGAUGCGUCGCUCUUGCUCGAGCCGAGUAGCACGUGCCACGUCUCGAGCCGCUUCCAACCUAUCAUAGUAUUGGGCUUUGGUCUCUAACACCGCUAGGAUUAUGCCCACCUCCCCUAAAGGCCUAGUGUCGAUCCAUUCCAUAAAUAUGCAUGCCUGCAUGUUCAUUCGUGAUUAGUUCUAGGUAUCGGUAUCUAGAAAACAUAUUUAAAAUGUUUAUGAAUGGAAUGACCUUGAAAUCAUCGUCAAUGUCGGGACACUUGAACUACCUACACCCUUUCUUCCCCCUAGGUACUCGAUCCUCCCAUACUUGCAACCACCCAUGGAAGCCGCAGUCGCAUUUGGGGCGCUCAUUCCAUGGUGCAAUCCCAUUUUGCUCAUCCCUCCACGACAACAUUUCUUAGAUGGAGACACAACCUCACUACAAGCUUUUGGAUUCGGGUUGGGAAGUGUUAGUAGUGCCUUUAAAUGUUGCCUAAACGUCUGAUAUAUAGAACACUACUGACAUGGUCCAUGGACCAUGUCCAUAAUGGCAAAAGGAAAAGGACAUGCAUGGACAUCAUAGUCUGCAUCGGCCUACCUAUCAAAGUCUCUACACUGUCCUACAUAAUGUAGUCUGCAAAGGAGCACACAUCAUAGUCUACAACAUCGUACACAUCAUAGCCUGCACCAGCCUAAAAAACGUAAAGGAUGCCCGAUGGACUAAAUGCGUCCUCGCUUGUGAUGCACAGCACCAGGACCACGUCUCGCGGCCCGGUGCGCUGCUCUAGUCUGCAACCGAUCGUACGUAAAGGGCUCCGGAGGGGCAACCUCACGAGCCAAACAUCUUGGUGCGUCUGCAGCUGGUGUCGUGAACUCCUGGGUGUAGUCCUAUGUCGGAGGCACUGAUGCAUCACCCAACUGCGAAGGACCUAUCUUCUUAGCGUCGUAGCUGAAAAAGGAGUCCACCCAUGCGGAACACAUCCUCUGGAUUUCGUCCUCUACGGACUCCUCAUCGGUCCCUCCAUGGCCUGUGUACGCUGUUAUUGAACCCAAGAAGUGUUAUUGUCAAUUUCGAUUCGUAUUUGUAAUGGAAUAGAAUGCAUGUAUUGAUGAUGCACCUAAGUCCUCCACAUGGAGUUCACGUGAAGACGGUCCUGCUGCACUAUAUCCUCUAAACUACUGCGGAACUUUGUCACAAAAUUAUAAGUUAGUACGACCAAUUAGAGAAUAAUUGUGAAUGGAAAAUGACAAAGUAACGAACACGUACUUGUAGGGGUCAAAUAUUGUGGACCCGGCGCAUAAGUGGAAGGACCUGCUGCAGCAGCUAUCCAAGAUGGUGCAUGUCGAGGAGUCCACGCCUCGGGGGGCGCCUGCAUGUGCCUGUGGUGCACAAGACGCCACGGGGUACAACGAACGUGUGGAUGCAGCAGAAGACGUACUGGGGUGGUGCGUAGGUGGUGCUGAAGCCGAACCAGGGUGUUGUGUAGGUGGUGCUGAAGACGACCCCGGGUAGGCAGCCCGUGGUGGAAGUAGAACGUCGGCAUCACCACCACAGCAGCUGAUGGACCGCAGGGAACCUAGUACAGAGGUGCUCUAUCCUCUUGUACGUCGACUCGUGCUCCUGCGGAGACAUGGUCCAGCAUUGCUCCAUGCCGGUCCUCACCGUCACCUGAACCGCUACAAUAACAUUGUAUUGAUGCCAAUGCAUAGUUCUAGUUAGGCACACCAUAUUCCAUACAAAGUGCAACAUAAUCCAUAGAAGUUUGAGUAGCAAAUGAUGCAAAAGUGUACCACGAUGUCAAAGUUCAUGUCCCUGGAAUGCGGGUACAUCUGCGUCAGUGGUGCAGUCGUCGUCGCUGCCUACCUAGGAACGUGCAUGACGCGUCUCCGUGUCCUGGGGAAGUACCACUGCAGGUACACUGCGAAAGUGUCGUUGGAGUGUGGACGGUCCUCCUGCACUAAGUUCUCCAAAGAGUCCACCCACAUCUCCACGUACGAAACCAUCCUCGGACCCCACUGCGUCGCUAGCCUACCACCACCUUGACGUGUCCACCUAACAUAUGCAUCGUGCAACGGGUUAGACUAAUGUAAAAUCUUUAUUACACAGAAAAUGAUUAGAUGGGGCUUACCUGUGAACGUCAGUCGGGACAAUGUGAGUAACAGGAAGUGGGGAGUCCUGGUACCGGUGGAACUGCCUCAUCACACGAUGUACCGCGUACUCCUCGAUGUGGGUGUCAUACACCAGUGGCUUCUUCGUCAUCCAGUACUCUCGGUCUCGUAGGCACAACAAAGACAGCCCAUGCGGGGCAGGGGCAUGGAUGUCCGCUGUGGUGUAAGGUGUCCACCUGACAUCAGUGUCGACAAGAGCGACGAACUGCCCGACAAAGUCUGGAUACGACUUCUUCGUCUGAACUCCAACCCACGAUCCCUACAAAAAAAUUAUUUCACAAACAGGUUCAGUACUCAAAAAGUGAAUGCAUGCAACAUAUGAAUUGAGUACGAAAAGUAAUUAUAGGUUUAGUAUCGUACAUUUCUCAAGCACCACAUCAACCCCACUGUGGGUCUGUCAACGUCAUCAUGGUCGAAAGGCAACUCUGGGUAGGGUUCCACAUUAAUGUGUGGCCGACCUAUCGGGAAGCGCUCGUACGACCAAAGCUGAAGAAGCAACAGGCAACCAACAAAGAUAGACUCCACCAAGUUUACCUUAUAGCAGCCCGUGCAAAGCCCCCUAUAGGUCGCUACCAAUACAGCUGAACCCCAGCUGUAUUGUGGAACCUCGUCAAGCGGGGCCUCCACUAUCCCCCUCGCAUAAGGGAGGAGGUGCUUAGGCACCGAGUUCCCUUGGGAAGUGUAGAACAUGAUCCACCUAAAGAGCCACAGUAAGUACGCCUCCAAGUGCCUCGCAACUAUAGCAUCGGCGGCGGCGGCUCUCAUGUAGUCGGCCUGCACAACCAUACAAAGUUACUUUACACAUUCACAAAACUUAGCGAUAACGAAAUGAAAAGAUAGGUAAAUAAGUACUCACACUGAAUUGCAUGAGCCACUUCUUCAUGGGUCCGUGUGUGGAGCUGAAGGUACGGUACGGGUCGGCCUGAUCGUUCCGCGGAAUGUGGGCAAACCGUUUCAAAAGCUCCUCACGCCAACUAACUGGCAUGUCCUCCGCGCCAAUGGUUGUGGCAGAACCACCCAAAUUAACUCGGCUCAAGUGUGCUCAACAUCGCCUCAAAUACGAAAGGAAACUUUAAUCGGAUCAAAAUGGUAGUCUGUUGGGUUUCACCCGCUACAAUCACGUAUUUCCGAUCAAAACAAGCAUACUCGCAUGAAGACAAGUCCAGAGAUUACAACAAUCCAGAUAAUGUAUUACAGGUCCCAAAUUAAUUUAUUACAACCGAGUGUUCAAAUGCAUAAAGAUUGUUCAGAGUUUCGAGCAGCGGAAAAAGAAAAUGACAGUUCUAACAACGAUGCAUAAUACCAUGGUGAAGCCUGCCAUGAUAUCACUCACCACGGUCCUCACCCACCGAGGAUGGGUCCCACUCGAUCGUCCAUCCCGGAGGGAUAUGGCACGACCAAGUCACACUAGCAACCACAUUAUCAAUGUCAUUACCUGAAAACAUAGCCACAAGCAAGGAUGAGUAUGCUAAUACUCCGCAAGACUUACCCGUCAGGUGGUAUCUAAUCCACCGACUCCAAGACAUGCAAAGCUUUUUGGUUGAGAGGUUUGUUUUGCCAACAGCUUCUAAAAUGGAUCCUUACUUUCAAGUUUUAGUAUCAAGUUCUAGUUGAUUAACCAUUCUCGGUAAGCACCUAUUCUAAGCAAGCAUGGUAAAACAAGCAAUUUAAUUCAAUCAUCAGUAUUAAUCAUCAUACUUGUUCCUCUUCUUACUCAGUGCAGAAGUGCAGUCAAGUAGUCUCAAACUGUAAGAGGCAGACGAUUCGAAUCGAGUUUCUUAACCUUACAAGGUGAACCUAAACCCACGACAUAUGCGUACCACACCGGGUCCACACAUGUCAGCCGCCCCCAUCAAUCCCCAGGCACGUGGCCAGGGCCCACUUCCCUUGGAUACAAUGCCCCACGGUCCCGGAACGUCGUCGUACCGUGACUGCACUUGUAUCCACAUGUGGCUGCAAGGGAACCCAGUUCUAGAGAGAGUAGGAAGGUAUGCCUACGUCCCGGUUCAAUCAGGUACUAGGCUUUCCCAUCACAUACUAGAUAUGAGUUUAGUACUUUCAAACACUUGACUACAGCUCUAACAUAUUUCGACCUUAGCAUCUUUCUUUUAGACAGACGGGGGCAAUCCACCAAUUCUAUUCAUAUUGCUCAGCCCCGCCCAUCAACCUUAUGAUUCCAACAUAAGUAAACAGGCAACUCCUAUAGCUCGCGAGUGACAGGAAAUCACUUGAUUUUUACCGAGUCCCUAUUUAGCAUAGCAACUACAUGACUUAUCAUGCUAGUAUUCAAACAUAGGUACUUAGGAUCAUGCAGCUAAGGUUUCAAGCAACUCCUACGAACUUAAUGCACAAACAUAAGUAACAUAAGUCGUGCGUAAUUUUAGAAACUAAGGUUAUGCUACGGGGCUUGCCUUCUUGCCCUAAAUCAGCCUUGGGCUCUUCCAAACUUUGGUUCGGGCCUUGGUUUGCCUCGAUAAUGUUCAGCUCAGCAAGAGUGUGUCCUUCCUCGCGUUUCGGGCUGAGCUCGUACGUUCCGUCAACAAGGUUAGCUUCUACAUGAGAUGCAUAUGCAUAAGAUUUUGUUUACAAACUUUCAUAACGUAGGUUUCAUCUCAUUAAUUAUUGCACAAGCAUAGGGUGUAUUUUGGACCACAUUCACUUAGACAAGGUUAUAACCAUUUCUUUUCUUUGCGAAACAAGGUUGGUUGGAUGAAAACAUAAUUUUUAUUUUGAUGGUGAUUGUGUACACAUAUAACUUUCUUAGAAGUUUAUUAUUCCGAAGACAACAGGUUGUAGUGUGUUGGUACUGUUUACCAACCUUUUAGGAAUGAUUGUGCUACUGAUGAAAAGCACAAAAUAAUCAUGUGUUAGCCUACAAAUCCUAGUAGCAAUUAUCUUUAUUAAAUAAGUUGAUGAAUAAAUGUUUCAGGAAGCAUCUACUAAAAUAUGAACAUGAAAUUUUUACAGGAUCUUUCCCUCUACACGAGAUAUCUACUGUAAAAAAAAUUGAGAUGAAUUUGACAACCACAGAAUUUAUAAAAAACAAAUAUGGUUAUUCUUCAGCUAUAAAGAAUGAUUUAUAACCGGUGUUUUGUUAUUAGUUUAACUCUACAAAUUUUACAGGAGGGUUUGCAACACCAUCAAAUUUUACAGGAGGGUUUUCACAUGGCAUUUAACAGGAAUCGAAUGAAAAAUCUAAUAAAGUGUCAUAUAAGGAACUAAAGUUACACCCGGUGUUAAAUAGGAAAUGAAAAAAAUUAAGGAUCAGAAAGUAACGAGAGAACUUUUGUGUCAAAUAGGGAAUUAUCUCAACUCAAGCCACUCAGGCAGUCGUGCCAGCAUACGCAAUCACACGGCAUAAAGAAUCCUCCAGUUGAGGUUCCGAGACCAUUGAUCCAAUCCAACGCCGUUCUCCAUUUCCAGCUCGGCGGCGCGAUGCAACUUGCGGUGUCACCAGACAGCCUCCUCUUCUUCUGCUCGGUCACGGCGUCGGCCGCCGCCGCCUUCGCGCUCAUCUCGCUGUACAGGCACCUCGCUCGCCGGCGAGCCGGGCCAUCAGCGGACGGCGGCCUCGCCCUCGCGGCGAGCUCAGCGGCGGCAGCGGGAGGAGGCGAAGGCGAUGAGUCGGAGGAGCUCCUGCCGCUGAGCGCCGCGGCGGCGAGCCUCCCAGCGUUCAUGUACAGCCGGCUGGUCAGGCACAGCGGCAAGGGCGCGGCGGGUUGGACCGAGUGCGCCGUCUGCCUCGGCGCCAUCCAGGUCGGCGCCAUGGUGAAGCUGCUGCCGGCGUGCGGCCAUGUCUACCACCGCGACUGCAUCGACCUCUGGCUGUCGUCGCGCUCCACGUGCCCGCUCUGCCGGUGCAGGGUCGGCGGCGACGCCGCAGCACCCGGCCAGGAGCCAAGCCGGCAGCUCGCUCAACCUUCUUCAGCAUAGAUCAUCUUCAGUUCUUCACACCUGCAACAAAUGCUUCUACUAGGAUCUUUCCCCCCCUCCUUUGAGGUUUGAGCUUUCAAGAGCAAGCAGCAUUCAUAUGUACUUGUAUUGUAUAUAUUGUCUGCAACUUCAAGCAAAUGUGCAUAGAAGAGUUUGACUGCAAAUUCGAGCAUAUUGACAUCUCAAUUAUUCCGGAUUCGUGAAUUGCUCUCUGAGCAGAGAAAUCACUAAUCAUCGUAUAAUUAAAUUUACACUUGCUAGGAUUAAUACAAAGGCCAAAGCAAUACUGGAUGAACUAUAUAGGCGGCAGGCGCGGAGAUCCCUUUUUCUUUAAUCUAUCCAUUUCCGCAGCCUCCCAAAGCAGUGUGGCUGCCACAUAGAGAAUGAAUUGCAUUCCAGAAGCUUGAGAGUUCAUCAUACUCGCAAAUAAGAGUUUGAGAAGAAGAAAAAAUUCGUCACAAAUGUGUGACAAACGAAAGCAUUACAAAUAAAGAGAUAUGUAAGAGCCACGACCAGGAGUUGGGUUUCCAAGAAGAAUUGUAGCUUAAAUCUGUACCACUCGCACCGUAGGUUGUUGUUCCUGUAAAGCUGCCAUUUUUUGGGGAAGUGCUGCAGUGUACAAGCAAAGGGGAAUGGUUUAGCAGAGACUUUGCAUUACAGGUUUAACAGAAAGAGAAUUCAGAUAUGGAAGUUUAACAUGAAAAAGAUCACUUUAGCAGCCCCAGUUUCUACGGGCUCUGCAAGUAGGCAAAGUAGAGAAGAUCAAAAUAACAGUUGUUUGUCCAAUAAUAAUCUACCAAGAAUUUUUUUCCUUCUUCCGAGCAACAAAUAUGCUUCAGUCAGAUAUGAAUCAUUUGAAAGAAAUUUCUUAUUAACGUUAACUAGUGUGCAGGGCUAAAGAUUGUUCUAGAAUGACAAUAAAUGCCUCACAAAAAUUAUCAAAUAUGUACACAUAUCUACAAUAUGAGGAUUUUAAAAUUAUACUGAACUGCUGGAGGAUAUCAAUUUUGCAAACUACCACAAUGCUUUGGUGAUCUGGCAGUCGCACAAGAGAAAAACCAAUAUGUACUUGGAAGACUAGAACUACAAAGAAACUUUCAACAGUUACGUACCCAAAAUGCUUCUGACAGCUAGAACAUUUACCAAAAAGAAACAAUUAUCUUGCAAUCCACAAUCGUUGGAACAGUGUACAAUGGAGCAUAUGGUAGGAUGAUUCAGAAAUAAAACUUUUAACCAGGGAACUAAUAUGCUGAAAUUAGGUUUAUCAUGAAUAACAUAUGCAUGGGUGAAUUCAGAAAUAAGACUUUUAACCAGGAAACUAAUAUGCUGAAAUUAGAUUUAUCGUGAAUAACUUAGAAAAACCUGCACACACAGUUUCGCUCCGUAACCAUAAUUGCCCAACCUCCAUAUGCUGGUGGUGAAGCAGUGGCUCUCUUGGAGUCCAGAAGCGAAGGAAUGUACUUUGUCCUACGUGUAGAGAACUACAGAGUCUAGACUAGGUGGUCGGGCUACUUACUGGGAUGACAGGUCAUGGUGAAGAGUAGUGUAAGUGUCCAGACAAUUAAACAACCAUGGUGCAAAUCAACUUUGGGUACCGUGAUUUUUCUGAAAUUUGUUAACGUCUGUAAGACUGUGAUAGUGCCAAAUUUAGUCCAUUUACUUGAUCAAAUUUAGUUGUGUUUCACUUGGGAUGUAUGUUUUACAUCAGAGGAUCGUUAUGCACUCUAUAUGCUCAAGAUACGAAUGCUUGAGCAGCAUAAUAAUGACAAGAUUGCACAAACCAUCUAGAGGACAACCAGCAAACUUCAAGGGCUUCAUCAGAAUUAGGGGUUACCAAAGGAGCCAAAGUCAACCAAAGCCUAUAUGAGCUAAAGAGGUUUUAUGUACUCCCUCAGAUUCAAAAUAAAUGACGUUUUAGAGUUCCUGCUUAACUAACUUUGACUAUCGAUAUAUAUUACAUAUAUUUACAAUGUAAGAUAAAUGUUACUAGAUUCAUCAUGGAAACUACUUUUCAAACAUUUAAUUACCUUUCUUUGAAGGUCAUAUUUUUAUAGAAAUUGUUGGUCAAAAUUUCACCUUGAAGACAAUGCCAAUGUCCUAAACGACAUGUACUUUGAACCAAAGGCGGUUUUUUGUUGUGUCAUGUAAAAGUUCCUCGCUCCAUUUUUUAAUAGGUUGGUAGCAACAGUAUUUGCUAGGUUUGACAAACGAUAUGCACCAUCUUAAAACUUGUAUUAAUGUUUAAAGGUUUUAAAUUCUUAAACAAUUGUGUUAGAUUUGUCAGACAAAGGUGACCGAUUAAGGUCCUCCUUGAAUGAUUCAGUGGUCAGAAGAAAAAGUUUCAGUUUUCACAACGAAAAUUUGUUUUCACAGAUACAACUGAUGGGCCAGAAAACUUCCACCCUAAUAAAUAACAUAUUCAGGUUAAUCCACCAAGAUCUUAAGUUAACACCGGAAAGUUUCCACGCCCCAGUUAUUUGGGCACUAAAUUAUUAUCCCGCUCUAAAGGUACAUGCUGCAGUUUGCAAUUACUCAGGCAGUAAAUUGUCUACUACUACUUCCUCAAAUAGUGGGCACUAGAAAUGGCAGUAGAAGCCAUGCUAUGAUAAGAUCACUGCUGCUGAUCAGACAGUGAGGCAACCUAUACAAGUGCAGAUUAGCAAUUUAGCAUCAGCCCUACUGUUUUGUAAGCACAUGAUGUAUCAACCCCAUGUUAGCUCGUAGAGGAAUGGAUCCAUAUAUAGUUUCAAGGAUCUACCCAUUAGGAUUGGCAAAGCUGUAACUUUGACAGAUUGAUUUAACCAGCUUUCUGUCUACAGUAUAACAUCUCUCUAGGAAAACAAUUAAGGCUCUGUUUGUUCAGCUUGUGCUUGUGGAUUUACAAUCAAGCUCAAACACACAGGCAGCUUCUCAUCCUGGAUUGUAACACUCCAACUCAAUCAUAACCACAAAGCAGCUCUGAACUCUGAUGCACACAUUUCCAAAGGUUUGCUUUCUUUUUAUUUUUAUUUUUCUUUUCAUUUUCUUUCUCUUUUUUCCAUUUAUUUUUUGUUUCUUUCUUUUUUUCUUGAGUAUUCAACAUUUGGACUUUUUACAUUAGCAUUGGUGUGCAUUACUACAGCUGGAAACUGAUAACCACAUAAUCAAGUCAUAGAGAAAAGAGUCACAAACUUCAUAAAUGUAAUUAGGAAUUUCAAAAUCGAAAACAGUAUUAUUUUCAUUGGGAAAAAGCCCACUUAUCAACCUUGAACUACUGCUUCUGUCAGUUUUCAAAUUAACUUCAAUAUUGCUCAUUAACCCUAGGCUGAUUUUCUUGAUGGUUCUGACAACAAUGACAGCAUGAUUGCUGGUAUUUCAACAACAUAUAAUCAACUACCAUCCUAAUCAACACAGGCACAUAAAAAAAUAUUAGCCGCUAGGUGCUACAUAAGAGGGCGUUUGGUUCCACUAACUUAUUUUUAGCACCCAUCACAUCGAAUGUUUAGAUACUAAUUAGGAGUAUUAAAUGUAGACUAUUUACAAAACCCAUUAUAUAAGUGGAGGCUAAACGGCGAGACGAAUCUAUUAAGCCUAAUUAAUCCAUGAUUUGACAAUGUGUUGCUACAGUAAAUAUUUGCUAAUGAUGGAUUAAUUAGGCUUAAUAGAUUCGUCUCGCCGUUUAGCCUCCACUUAUGUAAUGGGUUUUGUAAAUAGUCUACGUUUAAUACUCCUAAUUAGUGUCUAAACAUUCGAUGUGACACAUGCUAAAAAUAAGCAAAGGGAACCAAACGUCCCCUAAGUCACCAGUGAUCUAAGCUGCGAACAUGGCAAAACACUCAAAAAAACCGCCCUGGGGUGGAAAAAUGAACAGCUUGUGCUAAAUUAAUGGUUUUGAAGCUGAGAGUUGAAAACAAGACUGUGCCCAUAGCCCCAUAGCUCAAGUUUGAAAAGUACACGUUUUCCUUUCAAUUAUACUCGUUAGUGCAUUUGCUAACAUUUGGAGGUUCUUCAAAUGCAUCUACAAUCAUAAAUUGAGGGGUGCAUUCUCCACUAGAGAUAGAUUUAUUCCAUCAUGAGCAUCAUCAUACAAUAUGCAUAGUGUUAUAUGGCUCAUCAUAGGCUUGUCAAUAUUGUUUUAGCAAUUCCAAUGACUACUGUAAUACUAAAAGUAACAAGCGAAGGAAAUCCGGCGUUGACAUGAAGAGAAAAGGAAGUCAACCUACACCACAAUGAAGCAGGUGAAAGGGUAUUGGGACACUUUUUCUGUUAUUUCCAAUGAUCAAAAUGUUGUAUGUCCAAAUGUUAGAUAUCCUAUAUCUUUCGUAGUCAUAAUGUGGAUUUGGAUUUUGGACUACUGCUCCAAUGUUUAAUAAAAGUAGGGAAAACCGGUUUCUAAGCCCCCUAUUGUUUAGGAAACAGAGACAAUAUCUAAACUACAUCUCAUGUACUGUUUAUUUGCCAUUCAAUACUCACAAAUUAUUGGAUGGUUUGAAGCUUUUGUCAAGAAAUAACCGAUCCACUCAAGGAUACCGAAACAAGUCACACAGUUGGAAAAAAGGUGCCCUCCUCAUCCUUAUUAGGUUGACACAAUGGACAUCAUCAGAUUCAUUUUCCUCUCUCUGUCCCUCUCUGCCAUGGGUCCAUAGGUAAUAGAUCGAGCAUCCUCACCUCUCCUUCUAAACCACGUGAAAAACCAUGCAGCAACAGCAGCAACAAGAGCAACCGCAGCCUGGCGCCUACCUUGCAAGUCCAUGUCUAAGAAUACAAUGCAGUGUUCAUUAGAGCUCAGUAGAAGAACUUGGGGUCAUGUUGUUAAGCAAGCAAACAUUCAGAAGUACAUGUUAUCCUAGACGCGGCUGCCACACCCAAAGGUGCUCCUCCGACGGCAAGGAUUCAUCAUCGACCUAGGCACUUUGCUCAGCUCAGUACUACGGGCAUGAUUGGUUGCAAAGGAGUAAGCCAUGGUUCAAAGACACAAAAAAUCAGAUCGACAAGUAUACGUGACAACCAUAGAUCCGCAUAAGAAACAACAUAGGGUUCAUCAAAACCAUAAAUGCAGAUGCAGAACAACCAUAGAUCAGAAACAACCUAGGUUUCAUUGACACCAAGCAAGAUGUACCGUCGCACCACCGGUGGAGGCACAGGGUGCCGCCGGAGGACCUCGACCCAACGGGAGGAUGGUACAAGAACAAAAAAAAAUCAGAUCGACCUCUAUAUGUGACAACCAUAGAUCCGCAUCACAAAGUACCUAGGGUUCAUCACAACCAUAAAUCCAGAUACAGAACAACAAAAGGAGCGCACGGAUCUGAGAGAAGAAGAACCUAGGGUUCAUCGACACCAACCAAAAUAAGACGAAUCAACAGAUCAACGCGGGAGAGGGGACGAAGCAGCGUAAGAGGAGGGGGAGAUGUAGCGUCGCAGCACCGGGGGGCACAGGGUGCUGCCGGAGUACCUCGAUCCACCGGCGAACCGAGGUCGAACAGGAGGAGGGAGAGGAGAAGGCACACCAGGGAGGAGAGGAGCGAAGACAAUGGUGGGAGGAUGGGAGGUCACCGUAAGCCUCCCGCGCCUUUAGCCCCGGGACGGCGCCAUCUCCCGCACUCUGCCGAAAAAUUCCCGCCAACAUCGCUCCAUCCCGGCUCACGAGCGAAGGAGCCCUCUAGGCGGACAGGCCGAUGCGGGAUGGAAUGGGAGAAAGUAACGGGGGGUGCGGUGUUUCGGUUCUGGAAGGCCAACCGAACACGCGAGAGUGCACGGGAAGGUUCGGGACGGUGCAGCGGACGGUGCCCUCCCGGCUACCAAUCACGCCCUUAAUACAUAGCUCCUACUAUCAUUUUUUUUAUGUUAUUUUCAGGUUUGUGCCAGAUCAAAGAUUCCAAAGCUUUAAAGGAUACUCCACGGUAGCGUAUUACACACGGUGCACUAACCUGGAAGGAAACACGCAGCUCCCAUGACCUGCAAAACCAAGCGGCAGCACCGACAGCACAGAGGUUAGUUGCACAUCUCCGUAGAAAGAGCAGAAUCCAACAAUAAAGAACAGAACUAAGUUUUUUUAAAAAAAAAAAAGAAUCAAAUCCGAGCUUGCUGCGUCGGCGAGAUUCCGGGUGUUUACUGGGGUUCAGCGCGGUGAGCGCGGCGGCGCCGGAGAAGUCGCAGGCGGCGGGGCUGGCAGCGCCGCCGGCGCGGAGGAAGUAGUCGUUGAAGGCGUAGGAAGCGUGGCGCUGGAGGUCGGGCGGGUCGUAGCAGGCGCCACCCUGCUGGAUGGCGGUGCAGUCGGCGCGGCCGCCGUCGGCGCUGCACGCCCAGUCGAUGGCGCUCUGCAGCGCGCCGUCCUCAGCGUUGUUCUUGGCAACGCACCAGAGCUGGCCCCCGCCGCUCACCCCGACCCCCGCGGCGGCGCCGGCGGAUGCGCGCGGGGCGAGCAGGAGGAUGGGAGCGAGGAGCAGGAGGAGGGGAGGGGAGGGCGCCGGCAUUGGGUGCGCCAGGCGGCGGCGAUUCGGGGGGAUCGGUGGAGGAUUUCAAAUGCUACCCUUGCUGGAGGGGGAGUGGGGGACAGAGACAGACAGCCCAGGUCGGGAGGUGAGGUGGUGUGCUCAGUGUGGAGUGUGGACUGAUGUCGUAGCGGAAUGUGCAGCAGCGCGUUUUGAUGCAGCUCCUUCGCUUUCGUCUCCGGCUUUCCAGUGGGCAGUGGGCACCGCCGCAUCGGAACCGGGAAUGCGCUGUGAUCUUUCUUUAAAACUUGUUUUUCUACGUGCUUUUUCCUCUUUCGAGGGAUACCAAUAACAUGAAUACGCUAUUUUUCCUUUGUAAUGCUUCCACUCGAGUGUCCGGACCAACGUCUCGCUUCGGACGGAGACGUGGGCAUAAUAUCGACAAUCCAGGUACACGAGCAAUGUAUAAAGAUCAAGUGAUCCUUAUACGGGGUCAUGUGUUAUUAGUCUUUUAGGUCUAUUUUCAUCCCAUAAUGUUAAACCACAUAUGGGCUUUAAGGGUGGAGCCCAUUAGCACAUAAAGCAGAUCCUUUCUCUCCAUGCUCGCUCUCUUCUCCCUGUUCUCAGCAUGGAGGGUGCCGUCAGCAUUGAGCUCAGCAGCAAGGGGAAGGGCGGAGAGGAGUGGAAGGGCGGCGUCGGUGGCUUGGCUGCAGCCUGCAGGCCUUCCUGAGGCAUGUGGUUGAGAUAGUGAGGAGAAGGUGAGAGAAAAUAUUUCUUUAUUGCUUAUGGCAUGUGGUUUUAGCGUUAUGGGUACCUGCAAGGAUGAAGUGCUAUAAAAACUACCUGCACAAUGGUGAGGCAGGCCUUAUAGAACUAUAAGAACCACUUGUCCUCUCCAUUGUGGCGCCCUAAUCGCUGUCAUUUCAUUAAUAUAAUCCCCCACUGCCUCUUGCUCGAUCAACUUUAUCGAUUCCUCGUCUUUCCAUCUCCAGACCAUUUACCCCUAUCCAAUCCUCGGCUUCUCGCAAUCGCAGCUGCCACCGCUCGCAAAAUGGUGGAUAUUGCCAUCCUGCCAAGCUCGUUUCCCUCGUCCGCCUCUGAGGUCGUGCUGCGGCCGUCGCCUUCGUAGUGCUGAAGAACCACUGCUGCAUCACCUGCUCAUAGCUCUCCUCUUUGCCUUCUAUUUUUGCUCCGCUACCGAGCUCUCGAUGCCAACAGGCUGCUGCUCUAGUGAUUUAUUUCAUGGACGUCAGUGCUGAUUGGAAGUAGGGAUGCGAGGAUGAUCGACCAUCUAGGCCUUCCCAAGCAGCAAGGAUAGCGGUGGUCCAGACCCUAGAGCUAAAGAGGAGGAAGGAGACAAGGGAUGCUGGGCUCAAGGUGCUUUCGGAGCUCAUUGUCCAUGGAGCAGCUUCAGCAAUGUCUCACUAAGUUUUAUGUGAUGUUUGCAUAAGCUAUAUGAUUUGAUGCAAAUAUUUUUUAUAUGUUGUAGCGUCUCUCACUGCUUGUUUCAGAAUAAGUUGAUUUUUUUCUGAUGUUGCGGUUGCUUUUUUUUUUGCACAUUACGGUGGCCUUUCUAGAUGUUGCGAUUCUAUUUCCUUGAAUGUUUGCAAUAAUGAAUUUCAGAUGUUGCACUCUUGAGUUUCAGAUAUUUCAUCCGUUGAAUUUUUAUGUUACUCUACUUGCUAAAGAUGCUCAGGGUACUAUUGAUGUUGCACAAGGUCAAUUGAGAUGUUUAAAUAGUAAAACUAAGAUGUUGCUUUUGAUGAUGUUUUGAUGUCGCCAUGUUUGAUAUGAAAUGCUUCAUCUCCUUAUUUUUCUAUGUUUCGGUAGUUGACUGUUGAUGUUGCACUUGUUGAUUCAAUUUGUUGCAUAAGAUCUCCAUCAUUUUUAGUUUGAUUUUUUCUCGUUGGAGAGGUUUUUCCUUCAGCAUUGACUAGCGUAGCUUCUUCGAGGGGCGCAGCUGGCCGGUGAUGAUAUCUCCCUAUGAGUACACUGCACGCAGAGGCUGAUCCGGGUGUGAAAGGUAGAUUUGUGGUUGCGGCAAGUGAAAAGUAAUGAGAGGUUCGCAUGCACGAUAUUUUAAAGGGAUGGUAGUUGAUGCGUACAAUGGUAGCCCCGAACGGAUAUCCGAGCGCUAUAAGUCCAUUUUUUUCCUAGGAUAGAUCGCAACAGGAGAAUUUGUGAAAGGUCGCAAGAUCAUAUAUAUUAGCAUAAAUUAAUUUAACUAAAAUAAAUUAAGCUUUUCUAGUUUCCUUUGUAUUGUAUGACUUGUCCAUUCAUGUUAACAGCCUCGUGGUGCUCAUUAUGGCUCAUUAUGUUAGAAACUUUCUUCCCUAUCUUCUUUGUUUCUUGUUCUCUUGAUGAUAAAAAGAACUAGGGUACUCUCAUUAUUUUACCAACUUGACCUUAUGUUUUACUAUAGGAAUUAUUUUCAUCAAUUAUAUGAGACACUUUUUCAGCAAAAUGAUUUAAUAUUAUCCAACUCAACGCAUGAGAUGGAAGUAUGCUUUUAGUUUCACACUUUUUUCUCAAAAUUUUCAAGUUGAAUUUAAAUUGAAAUUAGAUGACAUAAUCACAGCGGUCACAAAACCGAUAACAUGAUUCCUUCUUAGUAUUGCAAAUCGAUCUAAUCCAAAUAAACUUCAUAUGAAAUAGUGUCAUGACACCACAAUUGUGUCUAUAACAUCUUUUUUGGAUGACUUGCAAAAUAUACUUUUAUUGAAUUAAUAACAUUACAAGAAACAUAUGCUAAAAAGGAUUUCGCCCAUGAUGCCGUCCAUUUUACAUGGCAGAUGAAUGUAUUAAGUGGCAGUCCAUUUGUAAGUGGAUCUACAGUCAUUAGAUCUAUACCAAUAUUCUUGAUUCACACCUCCUUAUUUUGCUCUUCUUCUUUAACUAGCCAGCAUUCUAAUUUAAAUCUAUAUGUCUGGCUCACUUUGAGUAUCUAUCUGAGUAUUUCCAAUAAUUUAAAGACCACACACAAAAUUCCAUGGACGCUACCAAUUCAACCUUCAUAGUGGAAGUAGCAUUACCGAUUAUUUUUCACUCUUUCAUGAAAUUACUCCAACAAACAAUAUACGCGGCAUGGAUUUUCUUGAGUUUAGGCAUCUAACAUCACCUCUAGAUGCCUUUACUUAGUACUAGUAGAAAUAUCCGUACGUUGCUACGGGUCUUUACUUGCUCUCAAGUUAUUAUUCGCUUGUUUGGCUUCGCUUCACAAUAUGUUGGUAUGUUAUCCCUAGUAGUCCUCUCUUUGCAAGUAUAGUAGUAGAAGACAUUUGUGGGUGGUUUGAUACCAUCUAUUUAUCACAUGGGACCCACACAUGGAAAUAAAAAAAAUUCACCGCUUAACCUCCGUUCUAUCCAUUCAUUCGAUUUCCCCCGUACUCAUCGUCAUUCAGCCAGUCGCUGCCUCUUCUUCCAUCGGCACCACCUGCAUCUUGCCCUAUCCUCGCCGUCGCCCAGGCUCCGCGCAUCUUGCUGUCCUCACUGUCACCCAGGCAAGCUCGUCCUCCUCAUGCCUAGCCUCAUUACCGCUUCGAGCGCUAGGCCACAGCGCCUCUAACCGCUAUGAGCAGGAGUGCGUCCUCCUCCUCUUCUCAUUUUCCACCCACCUCCCUUCUAUAAUCCACUCCAAAUUGUUCCAAUCAAGUGCAAAAUCGAGCUCCCAAUUGCUAGAUGUGGAGGCCUUAGUUCCGGAUCUGAAGGGGAUGGACGUCAUUGAGAGGGGGUGUGAGGUCCCAACCUUCGCCCCUGUUUUGCGUUGCUUGUCGACUGCCGUUGCGCCCCUCCCCUCCAUGGCGCCAUACCCUCGCUGGCACAUGGCUCUACUUGGUUGACUGCAAGGAGUCAUUCUGCUCCUUGUUUCCUUUCCCCUUCCUCCUCUCUCCGUCACCCCUUAGGUCCAGUUGGUGGGUAGGGCGUGUAGCCCGAGGGAGCAGCUGCUCGCCAGGGCGAGCAGCAGCAGUGCGUGGUGAGCGCGGGGAGGGUUGGCCACGCGAGCGAUGACGCGCCACCGGCAAGUGCGCUGUAUGGGCGGGACAAAAGAACAUGAGCAAAGGCUUGACCCGAAAUUGAUAUUCACUGCAAUUUUGAGUCCAUCUCUACCUUAUCCACCCACUCGGCUCUCUCCUCGACCCCUCCAACCUUAUCCACCUACCCGCCGGCCCCUUCUUCUCCCCUCUCUCACAUCCACCCGCUGGCUCCUUCUUCCCUCUCCCCACUUUCUUCUCCACCCGCCAGCCCUUUUCCUCCCCCUCUCUCCACUUUCUGUUGCGUCGGCCCUUCUUCUUCGGGGCGUGAGGGCGUGGCGGCGGGAGCUUCAAGGGGCGCGAUGGCCGAAGCUUCAGGGGUGCGGCGGUCGAUUAUUCGCCCACCCGGCUCUCUCCUCGGCCCCUCCAACCUUACCCACCCACCCGCCAUCCCCUUCUCCUCCCCUCUCUCCCAUCCACCCGCCGGCCCCUCCUCCCCUCUCUCCACUUUCUCCUCCACCAGGCGGUGGGAGAUUCGUGCCGCGGCGGCCGCAGCUUCGGGGGUGCGACAGCGGGAGCUGGGGAGGUUCUGAGCAUGAACAUUGCCAUUUUAUUAUAAGUUUAAAAGUAUUUACUUUUCUACUAACUUCAAAACUUUUUCUUUCGACACAUGGUCAAAUUCUAAAUACAAGAUCUAAUCCCUUCGAUCCUAAGGCUAAUCCUAGUGGGAGUUUUAUAGAGGUUUCAUGCACAUUAAAUACGGUGACACAUCAGCAUAUGUGAUGACAUAGCAUGGUAGUUAUGAAGUGAGAGAGGAAAGGAGUUUCAUCAGGAUGAAACUGUGUAUACACUGUUUCCAAGACUAUGAAACCUAUUGAAACUUGCAUUGGGGGCUAUAGAGUUUCAUUUCAUUUAACCAUAUCCAAUCACAUGCCUCACAAUUAAAUGUCAUGAGCAUCCUAUGAAAUCAUGAAAUGAAACUGUGCACUGAGACUUCCUGUUUCAUUCAUAAGAAUACACCUUAUGGGAUGAUGUGAUAUCCUUGGAAACAGUGCAAGACUUGCACUGGGACUGGCCUAAGCCGAUAGACGUACCCGCACUCCCGCAGGUGGUUUGCUGCCUGGCCGCACGGUAUUUUGGGCUGUUUGCCGCGUUAGACGUACCAGCAAGAAUUUUGUCGAGGCCCAUAAGGGCCAUCGGUCCAUUCCCAUAUGAGACUGUUUAAAGAAAGCCCACCCAACAUUACCUGGGCUCUAGGGCAGCUGAGAAAGUAGCACGCCGGAAGCACGUGAACGUCGAACCCUCUCGAGAGGCGGCGAGGCGAGGGUUUCACUUGAACCCACCAAAACUGAAACAAACCCUCGAAAGCUCGGAAGAUCCCGCGGCGCAGCACCCUCCUCUCCUCUCCACUCCCCCUCCCGUCGCCGCCUCCCCCGUCGCCGCCGUCGCGAGACCGCCAUGGCGCUGCACGCCCCCGUCCUCGUGCUGAGUAAGCGCUUCCGUCCCGUCCGAUCCCUCCUACUACGUCGUGCGCGCCGCCAUUUUUGUGCCCGGGUGGGCUGAUGUUUCCUUGCUCCUAGGUUUUAGUUUAGGCUCUUUUCGAGGUUGUUUGUGUCGAAACCCGCUUGAUCUUGCUGUUGGAAUCCGCGAUUCAGUUUGUUGGUUCGGGCGUUAGGGUUCUGUUUAAGCUGAUCUGAUCUAUCCCGUUUGGGUUUUGGUGAAAUUUGUCUGAUCUCUUUUAUGGUUUGAUUUGAGCAGAGGACUCGCUGAAGCGAGAGUCGGGAGCGAAGGUGCACCAGGCGAACAUCCAGGCUGCCAAGGUGAGGGCUUCUACGCCGCACUAGUUUGAUUAGUCCAGUGCAAGCAGUUCAUUCUAUUUUUGAUUUCCUAUUACCGUAGCGCUGCCCAUGUUAUUGGGGAAAAAACUUUCUUAGAGGACGUCCCCUCAUGUUGUACUAAUUGAUUUCCUAUUCAGUAUAGUUACAUGUUAGUAUUUGAUUUGCAGGCUGUGGCAGACAUCAUUCGCACUACACUGGGUCCCAGAUCUAUGUUGAAGAUGCUUCUUGAUGCCGGUGGAGGUGUGCCAAGAACUCAAAUCUAGUCUAUGCGUUGCAUUGUUUAUCAUUGAAAUUUUGAUUUGAUCACAAAUUUCAUGUAAACUGUUUUAUAUUAAAGAGGUUUUUGGGCACUGGGUAAUACGGCAAUAAAUUUUGUACUGGAUUGUGCUUGCUCCGAACCAAUUAUGUGGUGUGCAAUAUACUAGGUGUGCUAGUCCUUUUCCUGAACCCCUUGGUGGUUGAGCUCAGAUUCUAUGAAUUUUACGGAAUCACUGCUAUACCACAUAGAGUUGAACCUUUACACAUAUAAUAACCUCCGGCAGUGAAGUUAACCUGCUCCCAUGAACCUUGUCACCGCAAUGAGAACAUUUAAUUGUGAGUUUUGUAUAUACUUGCCUGUUAUUGGCUUGUACCUGUGUGAGAUGAAAUUGCUCUAGUUGCUGGUCAGUUAUGUAUGCCAUUUUGUUCUCCUAGAGAUAAUUCUAAUGAUCCUGUUUCCAAUUCUUUUGUUAAGAUAGUUUUUCCCACUUAUCCCAGCGAUGAUAGUUUUCCUCCAGAGAACUUACACUCCUGUUGCUGAAAAUUCAAAGUUGGCAUAUUAAUUGAAAACAACACAACUUGAUGUGUGCUGGGCAUGCAUACUUUCUGGAAAAAUUAUUUGUUUAUACAGUAGUAACUUUUGAGAACAGAAAUAUGUCAUGCCAUGGUGUAGUGAUGCCUCUUACUGUUUCAAUUGCCAUUGAACAGUAGUUAAAACUACAUCAAUUUGGUUAUUAGUAAAUUAUGCCACAUCUGAUGCUAGUCCCUUUUCCUUUUGUUUUAACAGUGUUAUCUUGGUUGUUUGUGCUUUUGCAGGUAUCGUGGUUACUAAUGACGGGAAUGCUAUAUUGAGGGAAAUAGACAUUGCACAUCCUGCUGCUAAGGUAUACCAUAUUCAGCAAUCAUUGUAUUUCUGUUCAAUGGAUAACUCAUGCUGCCACUCUUGUAUACCUAAUUGUGUUCCCUUGUGCAGUCUAUGAUUGAACUAAGCCGUACACAAGAUGAGGAAGUGGGUGAUGGCACAACCUCUGUGAUUGUUCUAGGUAUAUGUUUCAUCUGUCAGUUUUUUAGGCAGUUUUACUUUGAUAGUUAUGAUGGUUAUCGAUAUUAUCAUUCACCCGCAUUAAAUUUCUCAAUGCUAGCUGGUGAGAUGCUCCAUGUUGCUCAAGCAUUUAUUGACAAGAACUAUCAUCCUACUGUUAUUUGCCGAGGUAAGAUCCAUUAGUUCUCAGGGCUUCUGUUUACUGGAGUAGGACUUCUUUUUCGCUCUUGAUUUCUUAUCUGUUCUAACACGUAUUGCUCCAAAUUUCAGCAUACACCAAAGCGCUUGAUGAUGCUAUAGCUGUUCUUGACAAGAUAGCAAUGCCUGUCGAUGUGAAUGAUCGUAAGUUUACAUGGAACUUGUGGUUUCUCCUGAGUCCCAAAACCCUACAAACAUUAUACUGCUUAUCAGGGACAUGAUCCCUCUCCUCUUACAUGAUCAUUUGAUAACAUAAUAUAUAUUAAUGUCACUGUGAUAUACCAUUAUGUAGGCGUGUCAAUGCUAGGACUUGUGAAGAGCUCCAUUGGUACAAAAUUCACUGGCCAGUUUGGUGACCUUAUUGCUGUAAGUAUCUUUCUUCUGUGUGAAACUUAACAACCAGCUGUCUCCACCUUGUUUUUUUUUUUACUUUGUUCAGUUUAUGGAUUUUCUGACAUUAUGUUGCUUUGCUCAGGACCUUGCUAUCGAUGCUACUACAACAGCAGGCGUUGACCUAGGUCAGGGCAUGCGUGAAGUUGAUAUCAAGAAGUAUAUUAAAGUAGAAAAGGUUCCUGGUGGUCAGUUAGAGGAUUCUAGGGUCCUCAAAGGAGUUAUGAUCAAUAAGGAUGUUGUGGCUCCUGGUAAAAUGAGAAGGAAGAUAGUUAACCCACGUAUAAUCCUUCUGGACAGCCCUAUUGAGUAUAAGAAGGGAGAAAAUCAGACUAAUGCUGAGUUGAUGAAGGAAGAAGAUUGGUAAGAGAUUCCUACAUGUAACUUUUACUGCCAUGUAGACAUGAAUGCUGAAUCACAUCAGUCCUUUUGAACUUCAAUGGAUGCAUUAGUCCUAUGUUAUUUUAGUAAAAUGUUGAUGUGGAUUUGGCAAACUAUUAUUUAUUGCAGGCAGGUUCUGCUGGAGAUGGAGGAAGAGUACAUAAAGAACCUCUGUGCACAAAUUCUUAAAUUUAAGCCUGAUUUGGUCAUCACAGAGAAAGGGCUCAGUGAUCUUGCUAUUCAUUAUUUGAGCAAGGCUGGUGUUAGUGCAAUUCGUAGACUUCGAAAAACUGACAACAACAGAAUUGCUAAGGCUUGUGGAGCAGUUAUAGUGAACAGGCCUGAGGAGCUUCAAGAAUCUGAUGUGGGCACAGGAGCUGGCCUCUUCGAGGUCAAGAAGAUAGGCGAUGAAUUCUUUGCCUUCAUCGUUGAUUGUAAAGAUCCAAAGGCAUGCACUGUUCUGUUGAGGGGAGCAAGCAAGGAUGUCUUGAAUGAAGUUGAGAGGAACCUGCAGGUACCUUUUCCAUCUCCUUCCUUCUAUUAGUUGGCAGACACUUAUCCAUAUUAUGACCUCACCCAUCAACUCCCUUCAAAGUUUGGUUUUAACAUUUUGUUUCCUUUAUAAGACAGUAGGACCAUUUUGAUCAUCUAAGCAACCUAGACAUAUAAGUAGAUUAGAUUGCUCUCGUUGAGUACCAUGUUCUAAUGCCCCUUCUUAACUCCUUUUGCUGCAUGGUAUUUACUUUAGGCGAUGGUAAAUUCAUUUUUCAUUUCUCAAACAUGAAGUUCAUGUGUAGGCCAACAAGUUUAAGAUUAUGUUAUUGUCCUCUAAGAUGCCAUUUUUUAAUGCAGGAUGCCAUGUCUGUUGCGAGGAACAUUUUGAAGAACCCAAAACUCCUACCUGGAGGUGGUGCUACUGAAUUGACUGUAUCGGCAGCACUGAAGCAAAAGAGUUCUUCAGUUGAAGGUGUUGAAAAGGUAUUGUGUUAUUGUUGUUAGUUGCCUCUGUUGUAAGCCAUUAUAAUGCCAAUAGUGUGUAUUACUGUAUUUACAUAAAUUUCUGAGUGGGUGGCACAGGGAAAGCUUUCUGUUUUUUUGGUCUAACACCAGCUAGGCUUGAAUAUCUGAACUUUUUUUUCAUUUGUUUGUAUCAGUGGCCCUAUGAAGCUGCUGCUUUGGCAUUUGAAGCAAUUCCGAGAACAUUGGCCCAAAAUUGUGGUUUGAAUAUUAUUAGGACAAUGACUCAACUCCAAGGAAAGGUGAUUAUCCCUAAUCUCAUCUAAAUUGUGGGUUAACCUUCAUUUAUGUAUUGGACUUGGACCUAUAUUGGAAGUGCUCGACUUCUACCUAUCGUAGGGAUUAGCAUUUCCGAGCAAUGAAAAGAUUUGAGGCCAACAAUUCUUUUGUUAACUUUUAAAAUAACUUAGUCUUACAGUGGAUUUAAGCUUCAAGUCCAAAACAAACAUUUUCCAUCUUUUAGAUGUUUUUUAAUUAUAUAAAUAGAUGCAUUAGAUUUAUGAUACCAAUGGCUUUUGUUGCUUCAGCAUGCUAAUGGUGAAAAUGCCUGGGUUGGCCUUGAUGGAAGAAGUGGUGAAAUUGUUGACAUGAAAGAGCGAAAGGUACUUCUCUCCCUCCAUCUGCAUACAUGCCAAUUUACCCCAAUGUUUCUGUGCUUGUCUAAGCACCAGUGUGUUCUAUUUUUAGAUCUGGGACUCCUACAGUGUCAAAGCACAGACGUUCAAGACAGCUAUUGAGGCUGCUUGCAUGCUGUUGAGAAUCGAUGACAUUGUCAGCGGUAUCAAGAAGAAGCAGGCUCCUGGAGCCUCAGCUCCCAAGCAGCCCCAGAUUGAAACGGAAGGUGAUGCGGACAAUGAGCAGAUGAUCCCAGAGUAGAUGUUGUAGCGAACCCACACUGGCGAAGUUGUUUACUCAGGCCAGGAUAGCACGUUGAGCCAAGUUUAUUAUUUGAGUGUUUGUUGGUGGCUGGGCCUGGCAUGCAAAUGUACCUGAUUUCAUACAGUUGAGAGUGGUUCGUGGGUUUUGGGAUCCAGGUUUUGAAGUGUGGCUGCUGUUCAUCUUGUUUUGGACUUAGCUGGACGACUAUCAAGCAGCGAAACUAGUAGUUUUUGUGGCUAACUGUGUCUGUUGUAAUGACACAUGCUUUGGUUUGGUAAUGCUAUCGUUUCCCAUGCUGGUAACUCUGAUCAUUACAGCUUCGGGUAACUUGAUUAUGGGCGAUUGUUGCCAGAAUGCCAGAAGUCGUUGACUUGCGGGGGAUCCAGGCCGUAGCGAGUCCGGUGUGAACCGCGUGGUCACGUGGGGAAGAUGUGUCGAAGAGGAAGAAAGAAGAUGCAUAGUGAGCGCUUAAAGCCCAAAAGUCCAAAAUCCUUGGAGCGACUUCAAAUUUGCUUUAUUUGUAUUUAGCCUAAGAUUACGUUAGGUCCUACCAUUUCUCAAGCAGAUCGUUAAAUAAAUACAUUUCUGGCUUCCAUCUACUCCCUCCGUUCUAAAUUGCGAUCGUUUUGACUUUUCUAUAUGUAUACAUCUAAAUACAGUAUAUGUUACGACCGAAUGCAUCCGUAAUCUCCGUUUAUACAAAUAAGGAGGAAAUCUUUGCUUUGAUUUUCGUAUGAUCUCACGCUGAACUGAAGCAUAAACUCCAACUGAAAAAAGAACAAAAUUUCAAUAAAGACCCUUACCUUCCUCAACUCUUCCAACGACCCCCACUACGAAAUCGAAACGGCGAAACACAAAACCCACGCGAAGAACCCGAGGAAGCGCCCCCACGCCACCGCGAUCCCCCUCCCCGAAUUCCCCACCCCGCCAUGCCCGACUCCGCCGAUCCCCUCACCUCGCUGGAUCCGGACAUGCCGCCGCGGAAGCCCCUUGCCCCCGGUGGCGGCAAGCUCAAGAAGCCCCUCACCGAGAAGCAGCGCGCCGCCGCGGAGCAGCGCCUGGCCCACCUCCGCGCCCACCUCCUCCUCCGCCCCCUCGAAUCCCCCGCUGCCGGGGCCCGGGCCCUAACGCCGCCCCACGAGGCGGCCCUCCGCGCGCUCGGCCUCCUGGACUUCGCCCGCCUCGACCUGCACUCCGACGCGCCGCGCCCCGACCUCGUCGCACCGCUCGUCGCCUACUACGACCCGGCCUGCAAGCGCAGCUUCGUCCGCGGCGUCCGCGUUGCCGUCUCCCGGCACGAGCUCGCCCGCGCGCUCUCCCUCCCGCCGAAGCCCGCCUCCGCGGCGGCGGCACCGCCGGAUGUGGACCCCGCCGCGGUGGCGCCCGCGGUCAUGCAGCUUCUGCAGGAUUACGUCCUUCUCCCUUUCCAGGGCGACGACAUGUGCAUACUGCCGCAGGAGGUGGCCGCCGCGGAGCAGGCAGUCAGGGAGGGGUCAGCGCAUAGGGUUGACUGGGCGGGUCUGAUCUGGGGCCUCGUGGAGAAAGAGUUGCUUGAGCUGCCCAAGAGGGACGAUGGGGUUUGCUACUUCGGGCUGCAUCUGCAAAGGCUCAUUUGGGCGCAGAAGCCGAACCUGUUUGAGGCGGUGGAUGGUGGGGAGAGAGGGGAGGCCGUCCCAGAGGCGUCUGUGGAUGGAGAUAUGGAGAUGGGCCAGGAGGAUGGGGAUGAGGAUGCUGAUACUGAUGUGAAAAGCAAGAGCUUGGAGGAGCUGGAGCUGGGGGAUGGAGAGGCAGAUGCAGAUAUGGAUGUGAGAGGCAAGAGCUUGGAGGAGUCGGAAUUGGGAAAUGCUGAUGUGAGGAGUGCGGGCUUGGACGAGAUGGAGUUGGGGGAUCUUGUUACAAGGAACAAGGUCUUGGAGGAGUUGGGUCUGGGUGAUGCGGAUGCCAGGAACAACAUAGAGGAAUUGGAGGUGGUCGAUGAAGAUGCAAGGGGAAAAAGCUUGGAUAAAUCUGAGGCUGUUGAUGAGGAUGUGAGGAGCAAGAGCUUAGAUGAACCGGAGGCAGUGGAUGAGGAUGGGAGGGGCAAGAACUUAGAUGAAUUGGAGGCGGUGGAUGAGGAUGAUAAGGGUACAAGCUUGGAUGAAUCAGGGAUGAUUGAUGGGCAUGUAAAUGGCACAAACAUGGAUGGUUCGGGUUUGGGAUUUGUGGCAGUUGAAGCGGUGUCUGCUGAGGCGAUGCCUGACGACAAAGAGGAUGCGGGAGAUGCAGAACCAGCAGAGGGUGAUGAUGUGGCAGGGGCUUCAGAAGAAGACGGUGAAGAGCCCUUGGUGGAGACAGUAGUUGUGACACAGGAGGAAGUGGUGGCUGUAGCAGAGGAGGUGGGAGAUGAGGAGGCUGAUGGGGAGGAAGAGAGCGAUGCGAUGGGGUUGAGCUUGGGUUUUAAUUCUACAAACGGUUAUGAUAGUAUGGAUGUGGAAGAGGAAACACAUAUUGAAAAUCUGGAUGAAGGAGACAGUGACAAUGAAGACGCGGAGGAGUCAGAGGAUGAUGGAUUUGAGGGGGUUAAUGGUGGAAAGGACAUGAGUUGGAGAAUUGGGGACGACAGUGGGGAUGGCAACGAGGACGAGGAAAUGACACACUCCUUACAGCGCUGUAAUACAUUUGGGGGAAUGGAGUUUGAGAACUUGAAUAAAGGGGAGGCCGAGAUGAGGGAUGAGCUGGGGUUUGAUGAUUUCUCUGGAAGGGGAUCUUUGGAAAGGAUGACAUCGUCAAACCUCCUCCAGGCUAUGAACUCAAUUCCCUCAUCGUACAACAUAACAGAGAAUGUGCAUGGCCUAUCUGGGGAAUUCUUGUCUAUGGGGGCUGAUGCACAUAAGAAUGGAGUGGACUUGGAACCAGGAAGCUCAUAUUUAUUUGGGAAUAAUGGUAAGAGGCAAAUUGGUGAUAUUGAUGGGUACAAUGGCAAUCUGCAGGCACAAGAACAGUUUCCUCAGUGCAACCAGCAAAAGAGGAUGCGGCAUAGCAACAGUAGCAGCAUAUCACCUGGAUCAGGCUUUUUUAAUGCAAACUUUUCGGUACCUAUACAGAACUUGAUGGUUGAGGCAAGCAGGCUCUAUGAGCAGAAGGAGCAAGAACUUCAAAAUUUGCAGUUUGAGAAACAACAUUGGUCUGACAUGCUGCAGCAGAAAGACGCGAUUAUCCAAACCCUAAACUCCACUCGGUUUGAGCAACAGAAUAAGUAUCAAGCGGAGCUUAGACGCUUUGAGCAUGAUCUGAAUGUUAUGGCCCAGUUGGUCACUGGCUACAAAAAAGCUUUGAAACAGACCCAGGCUUCUUUUGAAGAGUACAGGAAGAAGUUCCCUUGUAACAAGCCUCUUUAUGGCGAUGUUACUGGUGGUGGGGGUCUUGUUCUUAGUGUGAGUGAGUUGGAGAGAAUGCAGUUUGAGGAGGAGCGGCAAAAACUUGCUGCGGCAAAUGCAAUGAUUGAAAAAUUCCAGAACGAAUGGUUCUUAAAGCUUGACGAGUGGACCCUCUCUGUCAACUCACUGUGGAGCAGAAUGGAAGGACUGUAUAAGGAGAUUGAUCUUCUCAAGGAAUACAGAAGAGCAAGAUUUGCUACCCCAUCUACAGAGGAAUGAGUUUCCUGACAGUCAGAGGUAUGUGGAUUAGCAUAUAAAAGCAGUCUAUUGUAAUAUUACUAAUAUGAAGAAAUGAUAUGGUCUAGAGAAUGCCAUGUUUUCUUAUGGUUUGGAACUUUGGAUUGGGUGCUUAUCUACUGUUUUUUCCAUAGAGUAUGACUAUAUGACCAUUGCAUUUGAAUAGGUAUAAUGCUUUUGAAGAAUUUACUACCAUUUUUAGCAAUUAUUUUAAUGAAUAUAUGGAUGAAAAUAGGACAGAUAAACAUAGUAACCUGCUUUAGAAUGCAGUAUUAACUACUUGCCUUGGCAAAUUUCCUAUUGAACUGCUACACCCUGGAAUCACCAGAGGCAUAUUAUAUCUCCUUUUGUUUUGGAUUGUUAGCAACCAUCUUUGGUAAAUAUUAUAUGAUGGUUUUCAGGUCUACAGAUCAAACUUGGCUGAGUAUAUGUUAUGCUAUAAUAUUUUAAUAGUAUCCUUGAUAGGUGAACGCUUUGUUAAAUCACAUGUCAGGUUAGUUGGGUUCAUGCCAGGAAUAUAUAGCUAUAAACCUGGAUGUUCUAGUAAAUCAACAGAAUGUGUAGUCUUGCUAUAAGGUUAUAAUAGCUUCUAAUGCCAUAAUCAUCAUUUAUUUGCUCAUUCAUUUCUGAUGAAUAAGGCACAAGUCAGCAUAUGGUCUGUACAUUGAAUACUUAAUCUGUAGAGAACUUAUGAUUCAGUCUGGUAGGUGAUAGCAAUUGUGACUAAUGAAAUUCUGCUAUCCCAGUUCUAUAUUUUAACUAGAUGUCUGGAACUAACGGGGUUGAGCUUGAUCCCUGGUCAUGCAAAUAUGAAUACAAAUUGAGCUUGCACAUUAUGUUUGGAUGCAAAGUAUUUUUGGAGUAUUGGACAAAUACUAUGGUUUUCCAAAAUACUUAAGUUUUUGAAAGGUGAUGGGUGUUUGGAUGCAACAAAGUUUCUUGUUUUAAAGACCGUGGUAUUGUGAAAACCAGUCUUUUUGGAGUUUCAAAAAUUCCAUUCGAGACCUUUUUUUCUAAACCACAGUUUUGCAUAUCUUAGGCUUAUAAAAGUACAGUUUCCUGAUACUAUAGUUUUCUAAAACUACAACAUCCAAACAGGCCCUAAGCCACAUAAAGAAGUUAUAGUGGGCGGGCCAUUUGGUUGACCUUAUGAUACCUGUUCAAACUUCAAACAUUAAGCGUUUCCAUAGCCCGGUUAGACUUGGUUGGUCAUAGGUUGUGAUUGGGAAGGAAAUGGUUAGGCAUGGGUUUGCACCAGGCUUGGGCUAGGUUUAUGACAGAUCUAUUGGUAUCAUUUUGAAAUGGUAGUCUGGAUAUAUUUGCUCACAUUGGUUGUCAAUGUUUAAAAUGUCUGUCCAAAAUGAUUUUUGAUAUGGAGUGACAUAAUUUUUUUUACUCCAUGUGGAAAUGUGGCCUUAUGGAUGUUGCAUUACUUGUGUCCAGUUUGAUGUCAGUAAGUCAGUGUUAAAUUAAAUUACAAUGCAUGAUGUCAGUACCCCAUGAAUAUUUUAGAGCUUGUUUGGUAGAGCUCCAUCUGAUUCUGAUUCUCUAUGGGGAGCUGAUUUUCUGAGAGAAGUUAUUCUGUGGCUGCAAGUGAUUCUCUUUGAUUCUCUAGCAUAAACACUUAAAAUCAGGAUGAAGAAUCACUUCACAAAAUCAAGAGAAGCUACUUUUUUCAGCUCCCAGCCUCUUAGUUCAUUUCAGAGAAUCUCUGAGAGAAGUUAUUCUGUGGCUGAAAGUGAUUCUCUUUGAUUCUCUAGCAUAAACACUUGAAAUCAGGAUGGAGAAUCACUUCACAAAAUCAGGAGAAGCUACUUUUUUCAGCUCCCAGCCUCUUAGUUCAUUUCAGAGAAUCACUUCACAGAAUCAGCAGAGAAUCACUUCUCUCUGAAAAACUGUUUGGCAGAGUUCCUGCUGGAUUCAGCAGAGAAUCAGCUCUGGGAGUUCUGCCAAACGCACCCUUAAAGACAAUUUAUGUUAGUUUCAACAUGAGUGUUAGAUUAUUUACUUGAAGAUUUAAAUUGCAAUGCAUGGGUGGCUAGUUUUCGCCGUUGAAUUCAAGGUUGAAAUUGUUUGGGAACCAUAAUCUGGGAAGAACCUGUACCCGAAAUAACAGCUGAUUAAUUAGCAGAAAAAAUCACAAACAGCUGAUUGACAAGUUUCUAAAUGAUAUUGUUGAGUGAUGUUCUUAGUUCAAAGUAACUGUAGUUUGAUAAGGAUCUUUUGUGCUCAUUGAUAAAUUUCUUUAGCUGUCAAAAUUACAUAUUAAUAUUAGUCCCCAAGUUCAAAUUUAAAACAUGUACUAUGCAGGCACAUACAUUGCUGGUUCCAUUUCUUAAAACUGUAUGUGUAUGCCUUUGUUAUGUAAAAUUGUACUAUUGUACUAGGUGUCUUCGAGUAAUUACUGAUUCAUUUAAAACUAAGGGUAAAACUUUGAUCUUAAAGAUGAGAUACAAUGGUUUUUUGUUUUGGAAUAAAGGAGUAGUCAUUGGAUGAGCAGGCCCUCUGGCAGGGGUGGAUCCAGGACUCGGGCUGGGUGGGCUGCGGCCCAGGUCCAGCCCCUAUAGCCCCCUUUGCACAACCAUGUUAGAGACUGUAAAUUCAACUGUACGCCUGUGAUAUCUCUCAGGCAAAAAGACCCAGCAGACCAAUACCAGGCUAGUUCAUGAAAUGCUUUGUCCGCUGGCUAUUGCCUUCAUAAAUUGAUCUUUUUGCAUGGACACUGAUCACAGGAUACACUAGUUCAGCCCGGGUCAGAGCUGAUUUCUGGGUCCGUCCCUGCCCUCUGGGAUUCAAGUUUCUGUCUUGUUCUUGCAAUAGCAAUCGGUCAGAUAUGGCCUGUUUCUUAGGACCAGCUGGGGCCCUAAAAUUUUGGGAGGGUUUGUAGGAGUGCUCAGUUUUUAGUUUGCAGCUAUCUGCGGAAGCAUAUCACAGCAUACAACUUAGUAAUUUAUACUUUCAUUUUGUGUUUUGGAAGUUUUCUCUUGCUAGAAUUGUAAUUCAACUAGCGGGUAGGCAUGAGGUGCAUAGAGCUCAGAAUUUUGUAUACUCAACUUCUAUACUCCUUUGUGCUCAAGUUUGGUGUAAUAUGUUAAGGUUGUAUACAAACAAGCACGAGAUCACCUACUUUAAUAUUGGCUUCUUAUCUUACCCUUGGUGUUGUAUCGGAAUAUGUGCUUUCUGGUUAUUCUCUUUUUGUUGGAUAGCAUUUUGCAUGAGCUGAAAAAUCUCCCAUUGUUUUUAUCAGGUUCACCAUUGUGUGAAGAUGGCCCCUAGCUACUACCUUGCCCCUCUGCUAGAAGUUUUGAUGCCAACGAGAACACACCAGCAGUUGUGGCCUACCUGGUGGUACAUACUGUAGUAAAGAUAAAUGAUUUCGCAUGUAACCUGGAUGUAUCCUCAUAUGGGGACGUUUUGAUGAUUAGUGCUUAAUUUAGAUGCAUUUAGGGGUUCUUAAUCUAUAUCAAAGUGUGCAUUCUUAUCCUCUGUUUGCAUUUUGAAUUCCUGAUUGUGCAUUAACGGUGUAAUAUAGGCCCUCGGGUGCGAAGAGUGCUGGUUGGUGGAACCACUUCAGCUUGAUUGCAGGUAGUAUUAACUUCUACACUUCCGUGGGCGGAUGCUUGAAGGAUGCCAAGGGUAAUUUUACUACCUUACUAAUGCUUGGAUUUAUAAAGAUGGUGACUUGUGGUGCUGCAUUAGACCGAACAAUUUUCAGAGGUGUCCGGUUUGAUGGACCUGAACCAUCGAGUAGGCCUUGAGAAAAGAAAUGCAAGGCACCUGGCAAGCAUUUGCAUUGUCCGGUUUUAUUCUCCUGUGGGUUAUGGAUACAAUACAUGUAUCACUGGACUGUCUAUAUGAGAGGCUGCAAGAGAGCAGUGCUAUUGCUGGAGAAACUGAUUAACAUUCUUGCACGGAUCAAAGAGCUUCGAGAACCAGAUGGAUAAGGUGUAUGCGUAGAGGUUUAUUUGUACCAAGAGUCCAUGACGAAGAGCUAAUCAACUCAUAGCUUACAAUUCUUGGCCUUGUCUGUCUUGAUUUUGAUGUCUUCUGUCAGCCAUUAUAUUUCGUGGAGGGGCAGGGGCAAGGGUCAGCAAGAGCACAACACAAGCUUCGUUGAAAAGAGAGAACAGCAAAGGAAGCUUGCCAUGGAUGCAGUUGGUUCAGUUGCCACUUCAUCUGGAGAUCAAUUGGAUCUUCGUGGAGGCUAACUGAUAUGACGGUUGCUUCUGCCACAGGUAUGGACCUGAGUUUCGUCUAGAAAAUAUGCUCGGAUUCUCAUCUGAUAAUUGACGUUAUAGUCAUGUACAUGUCGGGUUCGGCAUGUGCUCCUCUCCUAUGGAGACGUCACCUCGAGCAAGUUUGUGAAAAGGAAAGUACAAGUCCUCACACAGGCACGCCUCUAUCUCAAGAUGGCCUGCACUUUUGUGGCAGGUGUAGUAGGCCUUGCCUAACGUUCCAAAUGACCAAGCCAAACGUCUUUUCAGCCAAGGACAGGACAUUGGAAUCUCUGCCUGGGCAUACGGCUGCUGUACUCUUGUUUGGUGCGUUCACGCAAAAAUGUCAAUGUAUUACAAGGUGGGGCUAAUCAAGGAGCCCAUAGUUUUCUUACACGACAUUGGCACUGGGCGCGACAACAGCAGGAUUAAGGAAGAGAAAAUGUCAAUGUAUUAGAAGGUGCUAAUUAAGAGAGAAAGAAAACCUGAACAGGUAGUUGUACCGAACGAUCAAAACCUGAACUUGAAUAAAAGGGACAACCUAAUUGAAAUGAAGGUAUCUCCUCGCAAAGAAAUGAAGGGAUCAACCCGGCCAUAACGAAGGCAGCAUCCAUCUGUUAACGCAUUAGGAACUAAUAGUCGGUGAGGGGACGCAGAAGAAGCAGGAGAAAGAUUUCAAUAGAUUGACAAAGUUCAGCUGAGAGAUCGUGCAUUCAGAGUUUCAGAUAUGAAAUCAUAGACUUGUGCAGACCUUUUCCAUCCUGUGUGUUUGAUCACAUGGACUGAGAGACCUUAGGGGACGAAAUCAAUUUCAUCAAACACUUACUGAUAAGACGUCACUAGUGUUCCAGUCAGCUCCUUGGCCUCCUCUGGAAGGCUCAAUUCAUUUGACUUAACUGGUGUAUUGGCAAGUUUUUGUUUAUAUUUGUUUGAAGGAGAUUUGCUUAUAUUUUUCUCCACGUUAGUCCUAAUCCCGUGCUGUUCGUGUAUAAUUUAUAAGAUUCAUAUAUCUGCUUAAAAAUGAUCUCUUGCGAACAUUCCUACUCACCUGUGUUAUUAGCACGCCAUGGCCAUUACUUAGUACAACUCGGCUAGUGUCACACCCGGUUUCUGGAUAAAACCGAAUGCAUCACAUAUGUGUGCCAGGAUCCGUUCUCACACAUAUGUUGACGUCAUCAGUGAAUACAUCAAAGAUAGUGCUCAAAAACGUACAUAAACCAAUAGGAACUUUAUUACACUCAACGCGAUAGACACGAAGGUCUUUAAUCGUUCACCGAUAACUUAACACGCACACACACACAACGUAGCUUCUCCACAGGCUUGACUGGUGGACCGCCUGCCUAGAACUCCUCGAAGUCGUCGAAGAACUCCCCGUCAUCACAAGCUUCUGAACAGUGUUUGGGCAAGGGUGAGUACACUUAUGGUUGGUACUCAGCAGGUUGGGGAAACAUGCAAGGCUCACAAGGAAUGGCUCAAGGCUUUAAGCGGUUAGCGUUUUAAUUGGUCAAAUUUUUAUUAGCAACACCUAAUUACUAGAUGUAAGUUUAUACCAACCCAAUUAAGCAUAUAACAUUAACAUAACCCAAAGGUAAAGGUAACACAGAUUAAUCUCAUCUUUAAGUUCAAUUAUCAUGUGAGGGUCCAAGCCGCUCUUAACCGUGAGCACGGCUGAUAUAUCAGUUUUCACUCUGCAGAGGUCGUACACUUUACCCACAACUCGUGGUCCCCCGUGUCACCCGGGUUUGCAAAGCCCUUAAACACUUCCUUUGGUGAGUGGCUGGGGUCCACUACGAAGCCUUUACAAAGACACGCAGAUAACUGGUAGCCCGCUAGAGUUUCAGUAGCGAUGCGGACCACAACCCGUUAAUGAGACAGCAGCUUAGCGAAGGCUACUGCUCCGGAUCGUGCACCCAACACCUUCCCCCUGCUUGCCCUUUCGGUAAAGCCACCAGCUAACUACAUGCCUAAUUAUUCGGCUAAGAUCAGAGCCAUAUGAUGUUGUGGUUGUACUGUUUUCUUGGGUGGUUCUCCAUGUUCCGAUUAAAUCAAGUGUUCUUGUAAUUAAACAUGUAUAGCAACAUAAAUAAAGCAUGAUUAACAUAUUUCAUGAUUAGCACAUUACCAACCCAAUUUAAGCGACUAGCAAGUCUACCCAACAUGAUUAAACAGGUUUUCAAGGAAUAAGGAUUAAAACUAGGUAAGUCCUUAAUAGGCAUUCCCGUCAAACUUAUGCACAUACAAGAAAUAAGUAAAGUGCUUAAUCAUGAUAUUAUUGGGACAAAAAGAACAUGCAGAGGGAGAAGGCCACUUGCCUUCCUCGGCAAACUGGGAGUACUCUUCUUCGAACGGUGGCUGCUCUUGGACUUGCUCCUCCGCGAACGUCACGUCGUCUACACGAUCACACAAGGCAAACAAAUAAAGAAUGAUUAAAACAGUACAACAAACAUAUGCAAAGGCUUACAACAAACUCCUAAAUCUAACGUUCAUGCAGAGACGAUCGCGUGAGCGCGAGGAUCGCUGAAAUCGGAUUUAAAACGAAGAAGAUAUGAGAUAAACAAGUUUCAGGGGCUAAAAUAGAAUUAACUAUAUACUUCAGGGGCUAGCAUGUUUUAGAAAGAUAUACUGAACAUGCAAAAACAGAGAAACAUAGGGUUAGAUCUACAAAAUGACAUGGCUCGGGUUAAAAUAAAAGAAUACAGGAACUUCAGGGACUUCUCUGGAAAAUUUACAAGACACAAGAAUUAAGUAAAAGGAAUAACAGAGAGUUCAGGGACUAGAUUGCAAAAACUCCAUCUUCUUCCUCCAACAGGCAACCAAGCACACAGAGGCAUGGCCGACGGGGAGGGGGUCUCGCCGGCGUGGGCGGAGGCCUCGCCGGCGGCGAGCUCGCCGGCGCGCGGGCGGCGGCGCCUCGGUGGGGGAGAGGAGGGAGAGAGGGAGGGAAAGGAAGGAGAGAGCUCUCACUGGAGAAGAACAGAAACUUCACCGGCGACAGUACGGGCGGCGGCGCGGCGGUGCGAGAGAGUGGCGGGUGAGUAGCAAAACGGAAAGAGAAACUCCGGGCGAGGUCGAUGGUGACCUUUAUAGGCCCCGGGGAGGAGCGGAAGGGGCUCCCGGGAGAGAUCGAAGGUCGGCCGGCCAUUAAUGGCUUUCAAGCUUGUGCGGCCGUUUCCGGGGAGAGGAAAGGAUGGGGCGAUGGUUUGAGGCCGGGAGUGGGGGAGGGGAGACGUCGCGAGGUCGUGGAGGGGCUCGGGAGGCCGAGGGACGCCGGGAGGCGAGGGGGCCUCGGCCGGCGGCACACAGGGCGGCGCACAUCACCCGUGCGUGUGUUUCUGGUGCUCCACGCGCCUGGAGGUAGGAGAUGAAGGGGUAGCAGGUUGGUUGGGCCAGCUUGGGCCGGCUGGUGGGGAGGAAAGGAGAGGGGAGGUGGUGGCCCAAGAGGAAAAGGAAGGGGAGAUGGGCCUGCGCAGGGAGAAAAGGAGAGGGGAAAAAAAAGAUGGGCCGGCGGGGUAGAUUAGGCCCAUGCAGUUGGGAGGGGGAAGGAAAAAAAAUGCCUUGCGGGCUGAAAGAGAGAGAGGAGGAAUUUCGGCCUAAGGAGAGGAAAGAGAGGUGGAGGGUUUUGAAAAUUUAAAUAGAGUUGAAGUUUUCAAAAUCCAAUUCAAAUUCUUUUGAAAUUCAAAAGCAAGCAUUCAAACAAAAGCCAAAAUAAAAGAGAAAAGAAAAACUCUACCAAGCACUUAUUGCUUCUAAAAUUAUUUCAAAUGCUCUUUAAUUAUUUGAAUACCGUAAUUUAAUUAAAGUAAUUUAUUUAAUCCUUAGGGUACGAAAAACUAGACCGAGUUGCUUACAUUGCAUUGUGAUGGAAUUUUGGGUGUUACAAAUCCUACCCCCCUUAAAGAGAAUCUCAUCCUUGAGAUUCGGAGAGAUUGGAAAACAACUGGGGAAACUCUUCAAUAAGCUCGUCUUCUCUUUCCCAGGUGGCCUCAUCUUCGGAGUGGUGACUCCACUGUACUUUGCACAUUUUGAUCACUUUACUCCGAGUGACUCUCUGAGAUGUUUCCAAUAUCUUGACAGGAUACUCCGAGUAGGUCAAAUCAUCCUUCACAUUAAGAUCUUCCAGUGGUAGCUGUUCUUCGGGUACUUUAAGACACUUCUUUAACUGAGAAACAUGAAACACAUCAUGAACAUCCGAUAAUUGAGCAGGUAGGUCUAACUGAUAUGCCACUUCUCCUUUUCUUUCCAGAAUUUGAAACGGACCAAUGUAUCGUGGUGAUAGUUUCCCUUUAACCUUGAAUCGUCAAAGACCUCUCAUAGGCGAUACCUUAAGAUACACGUAAUCUCCGACUUCAAACGUCAGUUCCCUUCUCCGAGUAUCAGCAUAACUCUUUUGUCGCGACUGUGCAGUCUUGAGAUUAUCUCGAAUUAUUUGAACUUGUCUUUCAGCUUCUUUAAGAAUUUCUGGUCCAAAAACCUGACUUUCUCCUGUCUGACUCCAGUAUAAUAGUGUUCUACACUUUCUUCCGUAUAACGCUUCAAACGGGGCCAUCUUAAGACUGGCUUGAUAACUGUUGUUAUAAGAGAAUUCUGCAUACGGCAAACUCUUAUCCCAACUACCUCCAUGCUUUAAAGCACAAGCUCUUAACAUAUCCUCUAAGAUUUGAUUGAUUCUCUCAGUUUGACCGUCUGUUUGCGGAUGAUAUGCGGAACUGAAAUUAAGCUUUGUAUCCAUUGAUUCAUGCAACUUCUGCUAGAAACGUGAUAUGAAUUGAGUACCUCGAUCAGAUACUAUUUUCUUCAUAACACCAUGUAAACAUACAAUCCUUGACAUAUACAACCCCGCUAACUUAGCUCCAUUAUAGGUUGUCUUAACUGGUAUGAAAUGAGCAACUUUAGUCAAUCUGUCCACAACAACCCAUAUAGAAUCAUAACCAUCGCGAGUGCGAGGUAACCCAACGAUGAAAUCCAUUCCGAUCUCUUCCCAUUUCCACUCUGGUACCUUCAGUGGUUGAAGUAAACCUGCUGGUCUUUGGUGCUCUGCUUUUACUCUCUGACAUACAUCACACAAAGCAACGUGGGUUGCCACAUCCCCUUUUUAAACCAUACCACCAAUAUUUCUCCUUCAAAUCCUGAUACAUCUUAGUACUACCAGGGUGUAUGGAAUAAGCUGAAUCGUGUGCUUCCUUCAAUAUAUGUUCACGAAGAUGGUCGGCCUCCGGUACACAGAUCCUUUUCUUGAACCAAAUAGUUCCCUGAUCAUCUUCAGUGAAAUCUGGGGCUUUUCCUAACCCAAUUAGAGUCUUGAUUUCCUUGAUUUUAGCAUCUGUCAAUUGUCCUUUUCUUAUCUCUUUUUCAAGUGUAGGCUCAAUUUCCAUAGUCACGGCUUCAGUAUGUGCAACAAUUCCUAAGUUGAGUCGCUCCAUUUCUCAACAUAACUCUUGAGAUAUCAAUCGUGCUAUAGUCACAUUAGCUUGACCUUUUCGACUUAAAGCGUCUGCUACGACAUUUGCUUUGCCGGGAUGAUACUGAAUAUCCAAGUCAUAGUCCUUGAUCAACUCUAACCAUCUGCACUGCCUUAGAUUAAGAUCUCUCUAAGUGAAGAUGUACUUUAGGCUUUUGUGGUCGGUGAAGAUCUGACACUUGUUCCCGAUCAUGUAAUGUCUCCAAAUUUUUAAUGCAUGCACAACGGCAGCUAAUUCCAAGUCAUGAGUCGGAUAAUUUUGCUCGUGCUUUCUCAAUUGUCUUGAGGCAUAAGCCACUACUCUACCUUCUUGCAUCAAUACACAUCCAAGUCCUAGACGCGAAGCAUCACAAUAAACAUCGAAGCCUUUGUGUAUAUCCGGCAUUAUCAGUACAGGAGCUGUAGUCAAUUUCUCCCUCAGUUCUUCAAAACUUGCUUGGCACUUGUCAUCCAAUUUAAACUAUUUUCCUUUUUCUAACAAUGACGUGAGAGGUUUGACAAUCUUUGAGAAACCUUCAAUAAAUCUGUGGUAAUAACCUGCUAAUCCAAGAAAACUUCUGAUUUCGGACACAUUCUUGGGUGGAUUCCAAUUCAGCACAUCUUGAACUUUGCUUGGGUCUACUGUGAUUCCUCCGUCGAUGAUAACAUAUCCAAGAAAGGAAACUUCCUUUAACCAAAACUCACACUUACUCAACUUGGCAUAUAGUUGAUUCUCCCGAAGCUUAUGUAACACUAAUCUUAAGUGCUCUUCAUGCUCUUCUUCAUUUCGAGAAAAUACCAAGAUAUCAUCGAUGAACACUACCACAAACUUGUCUAGGUACUCCAUAAACACCUUGUUCAUCAAGUACAGGAAGUAUGCCGGCGCGUUCGUCAAUCCAAAUGACAUCACGGUAUACUCAUAUAGGCCGUAUCUGGAUGUAAAUGCUGUCUUGGGAAUGUCUUCCGCUCGGAUCUUCAACUGGUGAUAACCUGAUCGCAGAUCAAUUUUGGAAAAUACUUUUGCACCUCUCAUCUGAUCAAACAGAUCUUCAAUCCUAGGGAGUGGAUACUUAUUUUUAAUGGUCACAUCAUUAAGAGCUCUAUAGUCCACGCACAUUCUUCUGGUGCCAUCCUUUUUAUCAACAAAAAGUACGGGUGCUCCCCAAGGCGAAGAGCUAGGUCGGAUAUAGCCUUUACUUUCUAAUUCUUCUAUUUGUUUCUUUAACUCAACCAAGUCUUUAACAUCCAUUCUAUAAGGUCUUUUAGAUAUGGGUGAUGUGCUGGGUAAAAGAUCAAUAGAGAACUCAAUAUCUCGGUCAGGUGGCAUACCUGGUAAAUCUUCAGGAAAGACGUCGGGGUAUUCACUUGCAACCUUGAUAUCUUCCAAGGACUUUCCUUUUAUCUGAUUCACUAAACACUUCUCUUCUGAUGGGGCGGUAGCUGUAAACUCAAUUCUAUCUCCUUGAGGGCUAGUUAACAGCAAUGAUGAAGCGUCCCCACAUAAGUAGAGACUAAAUGUGAUCCAAUUUAUCAGUCCCAGGAGGCUGAUAACACAUUUAUUCAACAGAUAGUUCAGAAACCGUACAACUCCCGAAGGAGCGGGCGGGCAAGCCACACCCAAAGCAAGACUAAAGCGAUAACAAUACAAAUCCAAGUUGCAGUCCAGUCGGACUUCGGGCUGCAAUCGGAACUAAGCGUCAGCGGAAGCAUCCUGCGAAAGGGCCAACACCGCAGGCAGCGUUGGGUGCAGACGCAGCCUCCUACUCGAAGUCCUCGGCGACGAAGUCCGGAUCCUCCUCUGAAGUAACAACACAAGGGUGAGUACAAAGGUACUCAGCAAGUCCAACCCCAUCCACGGAGGGGGAUACAACAAGAAUAUGCAUAUGAGUAAUCAAGGAUAAAGCUGUGGUUUAUUUGCAGUAAAGCUGAAUUUUAGACACAUGCAGGGUUUUAUUUCAAAGAAGUUUCAUGAAAACACUUUAGUAAACGAUAUAUCAAGUGGGGUUGAUCCUACACAAAGGAUCCAAGUUUUAUUGCUACCGGACUCCCCGUCCGCCGUAGCGCACGGCACACCUGCCGGACACUUCCAAAAUUCCACUUACCCACACACGCAGUAAAAUACCAGUCAUCCCCAAAAGCUAGUUGUGUGACCGAGCCGUAACUCGUCCAAUGCCGUGGACACGGCUACCUGGAUAGGUUUUAACUCUGCAGAGGUUGUACACUUUUCCCACAAGUAGGGUACCGUAUCGCGAUCACCUUAGUGACGGUACGGAUCCUAACAAAGCCAUUACCCACCUUAGCCAACACUGACUAGUCAACACGGAAGCACCCAAGGGGUUAGCAACCCAUCCACGGGGCCGAAACCGGGACCUAAGUCAUCAAGAGCUUAGUCCUUUUCCAAGGGCUCCCGCUGCUCACCAGCACACCUGAAGCCUAGCAGUUUAGCUAGAGGGGUUUAUGCUAAGCCGUUGCCCAUACAACGGUCGAGUGGUUGCACGAUGAUGGAAUUAGGCAGGAUGACACAUCAACUCGGUCCUUAGUCAUGACAAGAUGGAUAUCUCCCAUUCUGCUCAACCACUAAGGUACGAGCCCAACAACCCGGCAUUCCACACAAGAAACGCCCAUCCAUCUCAUCCACCACCUUUCUUUACACCCGAAAACCCAACUCCUUAGUUAAACAUACUCACACAUUUAUUUUCCGAAUAAACAGGUGAAGUCAUGUUUGAAUUUGGAUAAUGAGUCCCUAAGCAUUCUAGCAGUGUUUAUCAUCUAAACAGAGCAACUCAUAUUUAGAGAUAAAUAUGGGACAACAAGGAAUAGUCAUAACAAUCAAGGGGUGGCUAUCCAACCAUGUCUUGCGAUAAAACAAUAUGCAUUUUAUAAAACAGGCCAAUAGGUUGUGUCUGAAAAACUGGGUAUUAAAUAUGCAUCAAAGGGUGAGAUUGGACUUGCCGUUCUCAAAGCCUUCCGGGAGCUCCUGCUCGCGGUACUGGUCCUCGAGCUCGGGCUCGCGGUCGAACUCCUCCUCGCGCUCCUCCUCGGGUACUCCGCGAUCUACGACACACGCAAACGAGCACACAAUAAAUAAAAAGGAAAAAGAUUUUACCCGGUGAGCUCCGAACAGGAAAUAUGAACGGAAAAUAGGUAGGAAGGGUAUUUUCAUGAAAUUUUGAUAUGCCUCGGCGGAAAUAUAUGAGAGGAGGCCGUGGUCGAAUUUGGGAUUGAUUGGAGGAAAUUUGGCGCAUGAAAUGACGGGUUAAAGGAGUAUUAGGGGCUUUAAAAUGAGGUUUAGGACUGAAACGCGAGAGCAGGGGCCUAUCUGUAAUUAUUUUUGGAAUGGAGGGAGGACUAGUUCGUGAAUCAGGGAAACUGGUGGGUUGGAUCGCGAGGAGAGGGAUUUACCCCUUCUUCUUCCUGGAGACAACAGGAGGUAGAGGAAGGGAUGGCCGUCGGCGUUCUGGUGGUGGAAGUGGAGGAAGGCUCGGUGCUCGUGGUGAGGGUGUGGAGGUGCAAGGCUCGGCUCCCCCCUUUUAUAGGCGGCGCACGGGCGGGCGAGGGCCGAGGCAAUGAUGGCGGCCGGACCUUUGGCCGGUGGCGUGCCGGGGUGGUGAAGCUCGUGGACGGCGUGGUGGCGUGGUCGACGAGGCCACAGGAGCGGCGACCGGCGACCGGCGACACGACGCGACGCACCGAGCCAAGCGCUAGACGCCAAGACGCGAGCAGGCGUGGCACGGGCGACGUGAAGCGGCGCGCGGCCCAGCGCGCGUGCGCGCCUCGGCGCGCGUGCCGGCGUGGGUGGGGUGUCAGGCGCAGGUGGGGGGUGCCAGGGGAAGUAAAGGAGAGAGAGAAGAAAGAGGAAGGGAGAGGAGGAAGAAAGAGAAGGAAAAAGGAGAAGGGAAAGAAAGAGGAGGAAAGAGAAAGAAGGGAAAGGGAGGAAAGGGAGGAAAGGGAGAGGAAAAAGAUGGUGAAAAUUGCGGGAUUCGACUGGCGCGGUGAUGGACUUGACGGGCACGCGGCGAAAAUUACGGGGAGCGGAAAAAGAGAGUUGACGAGCCGGGGCCAGGACGGCGGGUCCGACAGAAGGGAAGGGAUUUGACGGAGCUCGGCGGUCGGAAAAAUUUUGGAAAGUAUUUUUAACGAGUGAUUUAACUGGGUGUAUUUUACGGGCGUUACAAAUGACCUCUUAGCACACAGAAUAAUUCCAUCACAUCCUUUUAACCAGUCCAUUCCAAGAAUUACAUCAACACCAUUGGACUUUAGAACCACUAGGUUAGCUAGGAAAUCUAUUCCCAUGAUUUACAGAUUAACUCGUGGGCAUAUUUGCCUAGUUUCCAUAUCACCUCCUGGUGAACUAACUAACAAGGUUUUCUUCAUAGAAUGCUUAGGUAUAUUAUGCUUUACCACGAAUUGAUCAGUUAUGAAGGAAUGAGUUGCUCCAGAGUCAAAUAAAACUGAUGCAGGUUCAGAAUUGACGAGGAACAUACCGAAAACAACAUCUGGAGCUUCCUGGGCUGUCUCAGCUGUCACGUGGUUCACCCUACCACGCAUGAAAUUUUGUUGGCCCUUGUUGCCCUGAGAGUUUUGAUUUCCAUUGCGUGCUUGCGACUGCUGCUGUGACUUCUGACCAUUAGUCUUCUGAGGGAUCUGCGUGUUGUUCUUGGGACAGGCGUUGGCGUAAUGUCCCACCUCACCACACUUGAAGCACCCAUUGGGCUGAACUGGAGUUACUUGAAUAGUGCGCGCUGGUGUUCCUGUGGCAUUGUUGGCCCGGUUGUGCUGAGAAUUUGAGUUGCGCUGGGCUUGUUGAUUGAAACAUUGCGGCGGUUGAGCUGUGCGUUGAAACUGCUGAUUCUGUUGAUAACUCCCACCCUGUCCUCCUGAGCGAAAUUGGGAUCCUUACAGUGAGUUGAAGCGGGGAUGGGUGUUGCUACUAGAUUGGCCUUGAGACUGAAAUUUUCCUCUUUUGUUCCCCGAGCUCUUUACGUUUACUUUCCAAACCAAUGGCUUUGUCCAACAAAGUUUGGAAGUUAGGAAAUGUGUGACUCUACAGCUGAUAAUUGAGUGGCCCUAUCAGACCAUCCAGGAAACGUUCCUGUCUCUUCUCAUCUGUGUCCACCUCGUUGGGAGCGUAACGAGACAGCUGUGUGAACUUGUCCCGAUACUCGCUAACUGUCAUAUUGCCUUGCUUUAAAGCUAGAAAUUCCUUCUGCUUGAGCUUCAUCACACUAGCUGGAAUGUGGUGUGUGCGAAAACUAUUUCUGAAUUCUUCCCAAGUAAUUGCAUUGGCAUUGGCGUGGGCAGUAGUGUAAGCAUCCCACCAGUCAGCUGCGGCUCUUUCCAAACGUCCCGCAGCGUACCAGACUUUCUCACGGUCAUUGCACUGAGUAAUAUCCAGCUUCUUGUUAAUGACCUUCAGCCAGUCAUCGGCGUCCAACGGAUCCACCGAGUGUGAGUAGGUAGGGGGGUGGUGACUCAUGAAUUCCCUGUGUUUGUCCCUUGGUGCCUGAGGUGCUUGGGGUGGUUGCUUAUUCUGUUGAGCUUGUAGGUUCUGAACAGCUGCAGUGAGGUUUUGGAGCAGUUGCAUCUGGGCAGCCAAAAAUGGUUUCAUUAUUGAAGGCGGUGGGGGUGGUGCUUGAUUCUGUUGGUUAACCACGUGAGCACGCCUCGUACUUGGAAUAUCUUGUCCUCCUCCUGACCUGGUGUUUACCAUCUGAGUGUUAGAGGAAUAAAUCUUGUAUAAGAAUGAUGAUUUGAUAAGGUAGAUAAAAAUGAACAACGAACCAAGAUUGAGACCCAAAGCUAUUAACUUUAUUUUAUUAAUUGAUGCAGUUGUGGCCAUCACUCCACAAAAACAUCCCAGACAUUACAAAGACCCAAAUCAAGCAUGUUUUCAACCAACAAACAUUAUUACAUCGCACGUCCUCAUAGGAACGGUUCUAUCGAAAGACACUGGUAGGCAUCCUAUAAGAAGGAAAAACCUAGUCUAGAAGACCGGUGACAGAACCAGACGUGCCAUAGCGAAGCCUCUUGCGGGGUGGUAAAACAGUGGGGUUGUAGGGCUCGACUGCCUCCUCAGGUGGCUCCUGUCCUGCAAGCUGUGCCUCAAGCUGUGCGAUCCUGGCGUGAGCGUCCUGCAGCUCCUCAUGUGUCUUGGCAAGCUCUGCUGUAGCUCCGUCGAGGUCGGUGUUGAGAGCAGCGGUGACUCGAGCAAGGACGUUGAUGCGGUCUUCUCCGGCUUCUCCCAACGGUACAGCUGUGUCCUCAGUACCACUGACUCGGCGAGGAAGGUGUCAAUAGACGGUGGUGCUCAACUCCUCGCGGUGAGCGAAGCAGAGGGCUGACAGAGCUCUCCUGGCAGCGUCGCUGACGGCUGCGGCGUAGGUGGCGUGAGGCGUAGUGGAGUCGUGCGCCAUGUAAGUCCUCAAGCCUCUGGAAGUCGCCAAACGCUCCUUGAUGUGGACCUGAGUGGAGUAGUAGUCAUCCAUGGUGGCGUGGGUGAUACGCUGAGUGACGUAGAGGGGCUUCACAAAGUUUCCCAGAGUCUCUAGUACUUCCCGGAGCAGUGUGGGAAAGUAUCCAGGCUCAUCAUCUGAAGUCUGGUAGUCACAAACUGGUGUCACAUCCUGCUGUCCACCAUCUUCAUCUCCACCAUUGUUGUCACCCUGGCUGUUGGUAUUGUCGUUGUCGCUGCCAUCAUCAUUGUAAUCUUCAUCGUCUUCAUCAUCAUCUCCCUCACCAUCGCUAUCAUCCCCCGAAUCGUCCGGGUCUCCACCAUCCGCAGCAGGUGCUUGAGCGAGAUCAGCUGGUGCUGAAGCGUCUGAUGCAGAAAUAGCUGGUGCAGGAGCAUCCGAAGCUGGGGCAGCUGGUGAUGCUGUCGGGAUCACCAGAUUCCCAUCCGAGUCGACCUCCAUGACACUGCCAUCCUCCAUCUCGACGUAGAAGUAAACCUCCUCUGGAUCCUCUUCAACCUCCUCCACAGGUUGAACCGGAGUAGCUGGCUAAGUAGGGGCAAUGCGAGCCUGGUAUCCUGCAGUGCUUUUGCAAGCAGUCAACCUGGUCCUGGCCAUCUGACAAAAGAAAGAACAGAUACUCAGAAUAAAACAAAAAUGAACAAAUUUUAACAAAGAAUGAAAAUAAAAUAGAUUUUUAUGAGGAAUUAAGACAUUUUGAGAGCAUACAUGGCUUGCUAGACAAUGAGUCCUUAUUCACGUCCAUUUCUACCUAGGCUUGCGUCCUACAGUCAACACAGCUCUGGUACCACUUCUAUCACACCCAGUUUUUGGAUAAAACCGAAUGCAUUGCAUAUGUGUGCCAGGAUCCGUUCUCACACAUAUGUUUGUUUAUAUUUGUUUGAAGGAGAUUUGCUUAUAUUUUUCUCCACGUUAGUCCUAAUCCCGUGCUGUUCGUGUAUAAUUUAUAAGAUUCAUAUAUCUGCUUAAAAAUGAUCUCUUGCGAACAUUCCUACUCACCUGUGUUAUUAGCACGCCAUGGCCAUUACUUAGUACAACUCGGCUAGUGUCACACCCGGUUUCUGGAUAAAACCGAAUGCAUCACAUAUGUGUGCCAGGAUCCGUUCUCACACAUAUGUUGACGUCAUCAGUGAAUACAUCAAAGAUAGUGCUCAAAAACGUACAUAAACCAAUAGGAACUUUAUUACACUCAACGCGAUAGACACGAAGGUCUUUAAUCGUUCACCGAUAACUUAACACGCACACACACACAACGUAGCUUCUCCACAGGCUUGACUGGUGGACCGCCUGCCUAGAACUCCUCGAAGUCGUCGAAGAACUCCCCGUCAUCACAAGCUUCUGAACAGUGUUUGGGCAAGGGUGAGUACACUUAUGGUUGGUACUCAGCAGGUUGGGGAAACAUGCAAGGCUCACAAGGAAUGGCUCAAGGCUUUAAGCGGUUAGCGUUUUAAUUGGUCAAAUUUUUAUUAGCAACACCUAAUUACUAGAUGUAAGUUUAUACCAACCCAAUUAAGCAUAUAACAUUAACAUAACCCAAAGGUAAAGGUAACACAGAUUAAUCUCAUCUUUAAGUUCAAUUAUCAUGUGAGGGUCCAAGCCGCUCUUAACCGUGAGCACGGCUGAUAUAUCAGUUUUCACUCUGCAGAGGUCGUACACUUUACCCACAACUCGUGGUCCCCCGUGUCACCCGGGUUUGCAAAGCCCUUAAACACUUCCUUUGGUGAGUGGCUGGGGUCCACUACGAAGCCUUUACAAAGACACGCAGAUAACUGGUAGCCCGCUAGAGUUUCAGUAGCGAUGCGGACCACAACCCGUUAAUGAGACAGCAGCUUAGCGAAGGCUACUGCUCCGGAUCGUGCACCCAACACCUUCCCCCUGCUUGCCCUUUCGGUAAAGCCACCAGCUAACUACAUGCCUAAUUAUUCGGCUAAGAUCAGAGCCAUAUGAUGUUGUGGUUGUACUGUUUUCUUGGGUGGUUCUCCAUGUUCCGAUUAAAUCAAGUGUUCUUGUAAUUAAACAUGUAUAGCAACAUAAAUAAAGCAUGAUUAACAUAUUUCAUGAUUAGCACAUUACCAACCCAAUUUAAGCGACUAGCAAGUCUACCCAACAUGAUUAAACAGGUUUUCAAGGAAUAAGGAUUAAAACUAGGUAAGUCCUUAAUAGGCAUUCCCGUCAAACUUAUGCACAUACAAGAAAUAAGUAAAGUGCUUAAUCAUGAUAUUAUUGGGACAAAAAGAACAUGCAGAGGGAGAAGGCCACUUGCCUUCCUCGGCAAACUGGGAGUACUCUUCUUCGAACGGUGGCUGCUCUUGGACUUGCUCCUCCGCGAACGUCACGUCGUCUACACGAUCACACAAGGCAAACAAAUAAAGAAUGAUUAAAACAGUACAACAAACAUAUGCAAAGGCUUACAACAAACUCCUAAAUCUAACGUUCAUGCAGAGACGAUCGCGUGAGCGCGAGGAUCGCUGAAAUCGGAUUUAAAACGAAGAAGAUAUGAGAUAAACAAGUUUCAGGGGCUAAAAUAGAAUUAACUAUAUACUUCAGGGGCUAGCAUGUUUUAGAAAGAUAUACUGAACAUGCAAAAACAGAGAAACAUAGGGUUAGAUCUACAAAAUGACAUGGCUCGGGUUAAAAUAAAAGAAUACAGGAACUUCAGGGACUUCUCUGGAAAAUUUACAAGACACAAGAAUUAAGUAAAAGGAAUAACAGAGAGUUCAGGGACUAGAUUGCAAAAACUCCAUCUUCUUCCUCCAACAGGCAACCAAGCACACAGAGGCAUGGCCGACGGGGAGGGGGUCUCGCCGGCGUGGGCGGAGGCCUCGCCGGCGGCGAGCUCGCCGGCGCGCGGGCGGCGGCGCCUCGGUGGGGGAGAGGAGGGAGAGAGGGAGGGAAAGGAAGGAGAGAGCUCUCACUGGAGAAGAACAGAAACUUCACCGGCGACAGUACGGGCGGCGGCGCGGCGGUGCGAGAGAGUGGCGGGUGAGUAGCAAAACGGAAAGAGAAACUCCGGGCGAGGUCGAUGGUGACCUUUAUAGGCCCCGGGGAGGAGCGGAAGGGGCUCCCGGGAGAGAUCGAAGGUCGGCCGGCCAUUAGUGGCUUUCAAGCUUGUGCGGCCGUUUCUGGGGAGAGGAAAGGAUGGGGCGACGGUUUGAGGCCGGGAGUGGGGGAGGGGAGACAUCGUGAGGUCGUGGAGGGGCUCGGGAGGCCGGGGGACGCCGGGAGGUGAGGGGCCCCCGGCCGGCGGCACACAGGGCGACGCACGGCACCCGUGCGUGUGUUUCUGGUGCUCCACGCGCCUGGAGGUAGGAGAUGAAGGGGUAGUAGGCCGGUUGGGCCAGCUUGGGCCGGUUGGUGGGGAGGAAAGGAGAGGGGAGGUGGCGGCCAAGAGGAAAAGGAAGGGGGAGAUGGGCCUGCGCAGGGAGAAAAGGAGAGGGAAAAAAAAAGAUGGGCCGACGGGGUAGAUUAGGCCCAUGCGGUUGGGAGGAGGAAGGAAAAAAAAUGCCUUGCGGGCUGAAAGAGAGAGAGGAGGAAUUUCGGCCCAAGGAGAGGAAAGAGAGGUGGAGGGUUUGAAAAUUUAAAUAGAGUUGAAGUUUUCAAAAUCCAAUUCACAUUCUUUUGAAAUUCAAAAGCAAGCAUUCAAACAAAAACCAAAGUAAAAGAGAAAAGAAAAACUCUACCAAGCACUUAUUGCUUCUAAAAUUAUUUCAAAUGCUCUUUAAUUAUUUGAAUAUCGUAAUUUAAUUAAAGUAAUUUAUUUAAUCCUUAGGGUACGAAAAACUAGACCGAGUUGCUUACAUUGCAUUGUGAUGGAAUUUUGGGUGUUACAGCUAGGCACCUGCAUGCCUCACCAUUUUCAUCUCAUUUUCUGCUGUUCAUGCCAAGGUGUAAUUCUGGGAAUACACCUGAUGUUGUUGACAUGACUUGGGCCCUGUUUAUAAAGGAACAUCUGGUGUUUCGUUCAUACAUGAGAUAGUUCAUAAGAACUUGGAUCCUCUGUUCCUGAGAUUCAUGCCGUGUUAAUUGGUACGAACUGCAACUGCAUGGUUAUGUGAACUUGUGGUACUUUGUGGCCCUCCAACCUUGUGGCGGACAAAUUGGUUACCACAAAUAAGCUAGGAAAGAUUUCACAACAACUUCCUGGGGUGUUUAUCAAAUUUUACACCACAAAUUAAAUACCAAAUUUGACACAAUUUAUUUGAUGAGUUCUCACAAAUAUUGUAUUGGAUAGUUCUGCAAUGAACCAUCAACCAUGGAGUCAAUGUCUCUCUAUUUGUAUAAGUUGUUGGGGAAAUAUCAAACGGGAAUAUCUCUUCAACAAAUUUCCAGGAGAUGGAAUUUUAUAGCUCCUAACUACAAAUAAGUGACGUUUUGGACAUGAAUAUGGUCUUAAAAAUACAAUUUUGACUAGCACUUCUUGUUGUAAUAUAUUUUUAAAUAAUAGAUUCUUAUGAAACUACUUAUUGAGACAAUAUGCUCGCAUUAUUUUCAAUGUCCUAACAUAAGAAGUGUUUUUUUUGUAAGCAAAUUAUAGAACCCUUGAUUACAAACAAUCUGAAGCUCACUUAUUUGUGACCCGACAAAUUAACAACUGGAUCGUAAGCAGAAAACUCACAUGAAGUCCUAAAAUUCCAUCAGAAAGUCAUUUAUAAAAUUGCAUACUUCAGUAUUAAAUUUUAAAGAAAGUACUCCCUCCAUCCCAAAUUAUAAGUCGCUUUGAUUUUUUUGGUACAUCCACUUUGCUAUGCAUCUAGACAUACUGUUAUAUCUAUAUACAUAGCAAAGUGAAUGUAUCAAAAAAGUCAAAGCGACUUAUAAUUUGGGAUGGAGGGAGUACUAUUCAAUCUUGCAAGAUUAAAAAUAAAAAAUUAAGGAUAAGUAGUCUUUUUUCCAAAAAAUGCAAAUGCAAAAUUAGUUGUAGUCAAAUAGCUUGUGAUUAAGACUUCAUAAUGAAUAAAAUAAAGUGCUGAAAAUUUUGGAUAUAGAUCGAUUUGCCUUCUUGAACUCAUAUAGUACGUUGUACCAUUUCUCGCGGAUUUGAUCAUUCAUAUUUCAUUCCCAUAAGGGGCUGUACACAUGCUCAACGUGUGGGCUCUCACUGUAGCCGUAAUGGCACGGCUCUCUGAACUCGUACCCCACCAUGACG